UUUUUUUCUUUUUUUGGUUUAUUUUGUAAAAUAUUAUAAUUAAUACGAGAACAAAUAUGGAUAAUCAAUCAUUUUGCCUAAAUUAAUAUAUUAAUAAGCAUGCGAAAACACAUUUAAUAAGUUGGUUAUAUGCUAUAUAAAACAUGCCUCUCGUAUCUUUUUACAUAAUUUUUUUUUGGAUCAUACUAUGGAAUUUUUAGGUGACAAAAUUAAAAGUAGUCAAUAACAAUCACAUAAUUAGAGUGUUAUACAAAUAGGAAACAAUCUUUUCUUUUAUACAUCAUAUUGAGACCAGACAAAAGAAGAUGAGGUAAGUACACGUGUACCUUACUCUAUUUAAUUUUCUCUGCAACUUCAGAUUCAUUCAAUUGCUUUUAAUUCCCAGAUGGCGCACCAGAAAGUGCAGAGCUUUUAUUAUACCACAGAUCUAGCUUCUUUUUCUUUUUUGAGAUCGAUCUAGCUGGAUCUCUAUACUUGAAUUUUUCUUUCUAGAAAUUCUCGUAAACAAGAUCAAAUUAAAUCGUUAAAACACACAGUACGAAAAUUAACAAAACCCCUUUGCUUACUUGGAUCUAAGCAUCACGUCUCUAAUGAAGUUUGCAUCUUCUUCCACCACAACCUUCUGAUAAUAUUCCUGAAACACAGGAUCUUCCACCAUGGAUGCUUCUGGGUACUUGUCUAUGAAAUCUUUCCACACAUUCUCACGACCCUUCAACUCCCUCAUCACCUCCCACACACAAUUGCUGCACUUAAACCCCGCUCCUAACCCAAUCAUUAAGAUUCUGUCACCUUUCUUCAACCUCUCCUUAGCUUCCAAGUACGCGAAGACGUACCAGAUCCCUGCAACUGAUGUGUUUCCGAAUCGAUGAAGAGCCAUUUUUGAAGCUUCCACGUCGUAUUCGCUCAGCCCUAAGCUCUUGCUAAUCCCCUCAAUGACAGCCUUGCCUCCUGGGUGAAUGCAGAAGUGGUGAAUCCCUGUUUUCAGAUUCAACCGAGCUCCUCCACCUGGAUAUUCAUUCGCAGGAGUAACACUCGUACCGCUACUGCGUCGGACUGAAAUCUUGUUUGCUAAAAGAGAUGAUACAACGUAACGAAGCAGCUCUGUUAAUGGCAGAACCUUAGGUAAAAGCACUCUGAGAUUCGUUGCCAUAGCUUUCGCGCCAACUCUUGGGAGACUUUUGGAAAGCACAAACCCUUCAUAACCUUUAUCAUCAGCAUCUUGAAUGCAACAACUGUAACCUUCAUCGUCAGAACCCAUAUGGGUUCUCACCGCCAAUUUCAACUUCAAGAUCGCUCGGUGUUUCAGGGCAUUGUUGUUUGUCAGAAGCAUGGAGCACCCACCUGAUCUGAAAAGACAAUUCGGGAGCAUCAUCGAUUUUUUAUUCCCACAAUACCAGUGGGGCACCAUAGCUUCUGCACUCACAACGAGAGCAAGCUUGUUUUUGUAACAGUUAAACAAAUGCUGAACAAGAUCGAUUGCUAUAACACUCGCGCUACAUCCCAUACCGGAUAGGUUAAAAGUUUUAACAUCAUCCCUCAUCUUAUAACGGUUAACGACUCGGGAAGUAAUGGACGGAGCUGGAGAAAAUAACGAUAAAUUAACGACGAGGAUGUCGAUUUCUGACGGAGAAACCCCGGUUUUGGCAAAGAGAUUAUCGAGGACAGUGAAAAUGGAUUCGUCGACGUCGGAAAGUGCAUCAAUCAAGGUAGGGUUUUCUUCUCGGCCAUCUAUAACACUUCUCGGGCCGUAAGUUUCUUGUCCCAUACCGGAUCUACCGAAGGUUUUGAGGACAAAUUUGUAUUCCUCAAGACCCAGGUUCUUGUUACGGAGGAUGAUUUUCGCGUUUUCUUCAAUGCCGAGCUUUCGGUCAUCGGCAGCUUUGAAGCAUUCAUAGUGAAGUAAGUAGCAAGAUCGGUUUCGUUUUUGAAUUAGUGAUUUGCAGAGGUAGAAAAUAAUGUGGAAGAAUAUUAGCAUGUAUAUGGCCAUGAGGACAAGCUCCAUAGUUACAGAUGAUCAGUAGAGAUAAGAUGGAAGUGAAGAGGAUUUAGUUAUAUAUGUAAAUAUAUAAUAUAUUUGACCUGGAGUGCUUGUAUCUUGAGGUUAAGCUUAUGGGAAAGAUCUGUUUGGGUCUUUCUUUUAUAGACCUGAAAAAGGUGGUAACGUACCCAACCACCAUGUAAUUACUACUACAAUAAUUUUCUUUUCUCUUCUGGUUUGUUUUUUUUUUUUCCCAAACAAUUGAUAAGGAUGGUGAACUUUUCUCUUUUUUUUCCCUUCAAAAGGAUUGAUGGGGACGGUAGUGGUGUCACUGGACCUCGUUACAUAUCCUCGUUACUGAUGGGUACACAUAUAAAUCAAUAAAAUAAUAUUUUUCAGAGAAAAUUCAAUAAGAACACACAUCUAAAUAAGUGAUACAUAAGCUUGAAAAUUCUUGUGAAUUAUAAAUUUUAAAAAAACUAAUCACGUUUACAGAAGAAUUGGUAAUCACUUGAGAACAUGAGAAGUUGGAUAAGACGGAGCUAGUUUAGACCUGCUUUAUUGUGGUCCUUAAAUAAUGAAAAGUCAAAUAUUAUUCUUAAAUAGGAAACUAAGAAUGCAUUAUUACCGCGUACAACACGUUGUACUCGUAUUAGGUUUAAACAGAAUUUAAAUAAGGCAUUUUUUUGUGAUUUUAUUGGUUUUAAUCAAGACAGGUUUUUGUUCAAUACCCAUGAAUGGUUACUGUUUGAUCUUUUGAAGAGUGAAAAAUCGAACUAGCUUUUUCACUUUUCAAAUAUUAAACUGACUAAUUAUUAUCUUUAAAAUCUUCAGCUUUUUAUGUUUAAAACACUGAAAAUCCUUACUAACCAAGUUUCUCUUGUGUGAUUAAAAACACUAAUCAAGUUUCUCUUUCUAACAUAUAUAUAUAUAUAUAUAUAUAUAUAUUCCAUGAAAAUCUUCCAUUGAAAAUCGAUCUAUCAAAAUUUCCCAUUAUAUUAAAUAUGAAAAUCCCAUUCACCGUGUUUCAAGUAAAGGGUUAAUAAUGUUAAUCAAGUUUCUCCUUCCAGUAUUUUCUAUGGAAAUCAACCAGAAAAAAAGUAUAGAAAUGCCAUCAAGCAUGUUAAAGUGAAUGGUUAUAUAUCCACCAAACUUUAAUAGCGAAGAUCAGGAAGAUAGGGGGUGCUAAAGGUUGAUGAAGCAUAAUUAAAUGAAUGAUUAGAAGGGAGUAAUUAAAACCAAGGCGAGCUGGCAGGACAAAAUUCCUGUAUUAUUUAUUUUUAUUUUUUUUUCUAAUGAAAAGAAAAAAUAAGUAUCAUCAACAUUGCGUUAUACCUACUCCUUUGUAGCAUUAUAAAUGAUAUGUAGAUACAGAUAUACAAACACACAGUGCAUGUACGUAGCUUUCAAGAGGGACAUAUACAGUGCAUGGGAUAGUAACUUUGUGUCAGAAGGUAGAAAUGUGAUUGGAAAAUCUUUUAUUGCAUGCGACAGUAACUAUUUCAAAAACGUAGAAAUGUCUACUAUAUCAUUCAUCCAUGUAUAACUCCUCCAUCGUAAGAACAUAUAUAUAUAUAUAAUUUAUACAAGCAUACAAACCUAGAUAGGCCAAGUAGUGAGUGCUUGUUUCGUAGACUACUAAUUGAUACUUAAAAAAUUUAAAAGAUACUAAAUUCGAACAAGAUCAAGUAAGAAAUUAGACAAAACACUAACAAUUUUAUCAUUAUAUUAACUAUUCUAAAAUUUUUAUUUUAUUUUUAGUGAGACAAAACUAUAUUAGCUAUUAACUCAUUGUUGCUACUGUAAAUAAGAAAAUCUAAUCAUAACAUAAAUUUUUUUAAUAAAUUUAUCGAAAAGAAGUCCAAUUUGAUCAUCACACCGUCAUCAACAUAAUAAUUUUAAAUUUGUUGAAUAAAGUAGUAUAAGUUAAUGUACUCAUAAACUAGUGAAUUUUACAUUCCCAACAAAUUUCAAAUUGAAGAUAAAUAAUAUCUUAAAAAUUUUAUAGAAUAAGAAAUUAAGUAUUUAAACAAUAUUUUUACACUACCAUCAUAAAUACAUAAAGAUAAUUUAAAUUCAUUACAUCCCAAUACAAAAUGUGGAAACAGAUAGACACAUAAAUCUCGAUAAAUUUAAGUUGAUGCUCUAAUUCUCAUAACACUAUUGCAUAACAAUAAUAUUAUUAUUUUCGUAAAUAUAUAAUUUAAAUGGAUAACAAAAGAAUUUUAAUCUCGGUCUUAAGAUUUGAAAUACCCCUUACCGUACUCAAAAUAAAAAAUACUUAAAAACUCUAUAUGAGAUGUUGUUCUCAAGAAUAUCAAGUACUAAUUACCCAUUGACUUCUUUUAUUCUUCCUGAAAGGUUUCUUUGCAUCUUUUAUUAAUUAACACACACACAUAUAUAUAUGGAUGUAUUUGUUGAGAAUAGAUAUUAAAUUGGCAUACACAAAAAUAUCAGGUUCUAUUAAUGAAAAAAGGGUAUGAAUUAUGUAUUAUAUCGUAUUAGCUAUAGCUACAAUGAUCAACAUGUUCAAGUAAAAUUUUUAAGAAAUAUUCGAAAAAGCAAUUAAAAAGAAUAACAUUAAUCGGUUUCUUAAUAUAUAUAUAUAUAUAGAGAGAGAGAGAGAGAGUGUGUGUGUGUGUGUGUGUGUGUGAUUCAUAUGUAUGUAAAUUACUAUAUUAAUCAAUAUGUACUCUACAUUGUAUUAGAACUUAUUUGAGGUCGGAGACUAAAAGCUGAGCAAAUAUCCUUUAUGUCUCUUUCCAUAGACACAUACAAAUAUUAAUGAGAGACAAGAAAUUCUAACCUUCUUCAUACAACUCAGCAUGUAUAUAAUAAAUUCUUAAUAGUUUCAUAAAAAAAAUAAAUAGAUAAAUAAAUUAAUUCUUAAUUCCUUUGUAAAUAUAUAUAUAUAUAAAUAAACUCUUAAUAAUAAUGAAAAUUAAUCUUCAUCAUAAUCAUAUGAAUUCUAACUCUAGACUUUUGGUGCGGUUAAUCUCCUGCAUAUAUCCUUAUUUGGAGGUAUACUGUGAUUAGUAUAUGCAAAUUAUCUAAUUUAAUGAAUUUAUAAAUUUAGAUUAAAAAAAAUUAUAAUUAAUUAAUGAAAAUUUUAAAUUGAUAAAAGUAACUUUGAACUUAUUAUCAAUAAACAUUAAUUAAUACGUCAUGUGUAAAUUCACCAUAAAGAAAGUGGAUUAAACAAAAACACAUUACGUACUUAAGCUGAAAUUAUGAACAUUAAUUACAAUCGUUCAAGCAUUGGGUUGAGACAUGGUAGUUACCAGUUGAACAUCGCACUAACCACCAUCUAAUUUAUAUUAAAACUAAUUAAUAGAAAUAAGACGACCGUCAAAAUUCAGAGAUUAUAGUAAAUUACUCGAUAAUUUAAUUAAAAUAAACUGAGUGUUAGUCUAAUACAACACUUGAAUUCUGAAUCUUAAGUAAAAGAAAAUGAACAACUAUCACAGUCUAAAAACUUUUUUAAGUGCUAAUAUAUGUGUGUGUGUGUGUGUGCAUAUACAUAUAUAUAUAUAUAUAUAUAUAUAUAGAAGUUGAAAAUCCACAAAAAAUGUAUACUAGGUUUAUCUUAAUAUUCUGUUCUAUAUCUUUUUAUAAAAAUUUAAAAUAUGGAACUCUUAGAAGUAUGUGACUCUAUAUUAUUCUAUAAUUAUUUAUUUAUACAUUAACAAUAGAAUCAAACAUGAUUAUACCAAAAUGAGAAUAAAAGGGUUACACUAUUUCAUAAUAUAUAUAUAUAUAUAUAUUUUUUGGGUCAAUACAUUGGAGAUGGUGUUGGUGAUCAUCAUUUAUCACCAUCAUCUUCCCAUAGAUCUUAAUUAAUUUACAUCAUUUCAUUGCAUUCAACUUUUGAACCCCAUUCAAUUUAUGAGCUUGUCCUUUUGGUUUCUGCUUGCACAUGGCUGUUCUGGUCUUUCAGCAUCCGCUACAUACACAUACAUAUAUAUAUGCACGCACAUGAUGGGUUUUAUUCUUAAUUCUUCAGUUUCUGUCAUUGACAGUGGUAAAUUGAUGGGAGGUUGAAUUUGCUGUUUGCUAGAAGUGAAUAUGUGUGGUUUAGAUCAGUGAGGUUGAUGGUUUGAUUCCCAGUUUUUUGUUUUUUGGUUAUGUGAUUUUUUCUUGUUACUUUUGAUCAGAAUUUCAGGAAUUGAUCAAGUAAUAUAAUAUAUAUACAUAUACAAAUAGAUACGCUAAAACUUAAAAGAUCAAAAUUAUUAGUAAGUACUAUAUUUAUAAUAUAUGGUCGUAAUUUUUUUUAAAUAAAAAACAGAUACAGUCAUUAUUUAGAUGAUAUGCAUAUAUAUAUAUAUAUAUCAAUAAUAAUAAAUAUAUAUAAAUAAUUUUUAAAUAGAUAUAAGUUAUGAUUUUUUUUAUUGUAUAAUAAAAUUAUUUAUUUUUGAUUAAAUGAUUGGAGAGAAGUAAUAAAAUAUCUGUAUGUUGUUUCGGUAGAUAUGGGCGCUUACACGAUUAAUAAAUUGAAAGAUGGAAGAGGAAGUUGAUAAGUACAAGUGAGAAGUGAAUAGCAUGCUUUUGUAACAUGCAUAUCUUAUCUUCAAAUUAAAGCAAAAUAUGGGACCAUUACUGACCAUUGUUUUUCUUUGGCUAUACAUAUAUAUAUAUAUAUAUACGUAUGUAUGUAUGUGUGUGUGUGUGUGUGUGUAUAUAUAUAUAUAUAUAUGGGGACUAGUAGGUGAGUUUUUCAAUAAAUUGCCAAAAUUAUUGUUUAUACGUGCCACCUUCACUCUCAAGAUUGAAUUAUUGACAGCAUGGGAAUCUCUUGAAUUCUAUUCAUGGGGAAAGACACGAAAUAAUAUGUUGUAACUAAUUAUAAUAAAUUAUUUUUUGUUUAUUUUCAUUAAAAAAAUUUAUAUGUUCGAGUCCAUUUAUGUAUUUUGUGAGUCUUUAAUAUAAAAUGUGAUUUGUCUUGUACAUAUAUGUGUGUGUGUGUGUGUGUAUAUAUAUAUAUAUCUCACUUAAUUGAUAAUAUAUAUGAAUUUUUACUCAAAAAAUUAUAUAUGUAUUGAACAGUCAUCUAAUAUUUUAGUUGAUGCCUAUUCCUUUCAUGACUCACUUAUUAAUUAACUAGAUUUUUAUCUAACAUGUAUGAAUUUUGAAAUCGAUUUCUGAGUUCUUUUUUCUUAAGAAUUUUGAAAUUAAUAAUUUUAAUUGUAUUAAAAUAUUAAUAAAUUAAAUUAUUAAUUUUAUUAAAUAAAAUAUUAUAAAUUACUCACAAUCAGUUAAUACAUUAAAUCAUGCACAACUCAUAAUCAACUAAUGUAAUCAAAAACUUUACAGAUAACAUUAUUAUUCAUAAUCAUAAAACUCUCAACAAAUUAUCUCUACUUGAUUUACAUUCAACACGUGAAUGUCAACUAAGAUAAUUGAAAUAACUUUAAUUGAUUAAAAAUACUAUAAAUAUGAACUUGAUAAAUUAAAAAUCAAUUCGAAAGGAAAUUAAUAAAUCGUCAUAAAGAUUUACUUUGAUAAACUGAAUCAAUUUUCAUUUAAUAAGAAGGUUGAAAAAACCUAAUUAGUUGAAAAUUAAAACUUCAUAAUUUUAUUAUUUUCAAACUUUAUUCUUUAUAUGAAUAUGUGUAUAUAUGUUAAAAAAAAUAUAAAUAAAAACUAAGAGAAUUAGUUAAGUAGAUAAAUAGAUUGACUUUCUAUUUUAAUUAUCUAAGGUCAUUUUCUAGAUAAUAUUUAUAAAAAAAAAGAGGGAUUCUAAAAAUAAAUGCCCUCAAAUUUAGUUUGAAAAAGUUUAAUUUCAAAUAAAUUGUUAUUACCCCUUGUAAUUUUACUUCUACCAUUUGUUCUUCCGUUCUUCCUUCUCAAGUCAGCAAAGGAGAAUUAACUGAGGUAGCUCCAGAAAACGACACCGCAUCAGAAAGUUGACUUCACUGCCCACGCUAGUUGACGGCAGUCUCUGAGUACCAAGGGUUUAGACCCGGCUCUCCGCCGGCAGCCUCGACGGCCCUCUCUAUUUUCUGGCCUCCCGUUUCUCUCUCUCGACAUAAAUGUAUAUAAAUGAACACCGAUUGUAUACUAUGUAUGAUUUUGCUAGUGCGUAAGAUUUGGGGAAUGGAUAUAUGGUUGUUGUUGAAUGGAUUUUGGAUUGUUAUCAUGGAGGAAUUAAUCGUGAUUCAUAUGUGCUCUUUUGGGACUUUGAAAAAAAAAAAAAAACCAAAGUGGGUGGCUCUCGUGUUCAAUUGCGUAGCCAUUGAUUGAUUAAUUCAUUUUUUCAAUUCUUUUUCUUUUUUUUUUUUUUUUUUGUUUAAUGGAGUAUUUUUAGUAGUCUUUCACUUUGCGGGUCCUGAGAAGUUGAUAAUUCAUAAGAUAAUCUCUCUUGACAAGUACACAUAAGAAUACAUAGUUUGGUUCGAAACCAUGACAUGGUUAAGACCCAACGAUUCAGUUAAAUACUGUACUAUAUUUAGUAUGUUGAAUUUCCUGGACAUUGUUUGAUUAAUUCAUUUUUAUCUGUUUUUGACCUUCUCUGGACACUGGGUACUUCAUGAUUCCUCAAUGUAAAUAAUGAAUCAGUUCUUUUCCAUUAGUUUAGUCUUUUAGAAAUUUGAUCACUCAUUUCAUAUUAUAUAUGUCUGUAUAUCUACCUAUAUAUAUAUAUAUUAUUUCAAGUGGUAUAAGAGAAUUGAAAGAUCGAAUUUUGCUUAAGCCCUUCUUUCAAUAGGAUGAGAUUGGUACUUGGGACUUAUAGACGUUUUAGACAAAGCAUAAAUAUUACUGUUUCUAGGUGGGCUAGUUUUGGACAUAACAGGAUGAGCCUGAAUAUGGGAAGUGACUUCUUGGUUUUGAUUAUUUCCUUUCUUGGGCUCUACAUGUUAUUUUGCGCUGCAUGCCAAGACAAAAGCAUAUACAUUACAAGUUGUAUCUCAUCUGAAGAGUAUAGGCUAAUUUUUUUACUACAUUUGAUAAUUAUUUCUCUAAUAACAUUCUCUCAAUGCAACAUAUGAAGCAGGGAAGAAGCAGAAACAAUUGGAAUAUUAUACAGAAAAGGUAAACUAUCUUCUAUCCUUACAUUUGAAUAUGAACUUUCAAGAUGAAGUUUUGCUCGAUGCUAAACUUCUCUUUUUUGUGGAAACUGAGCCCACUAGAUGCUUAAAAUGGGAUUUCUAUAGCUUUUUGGAAUAUGUAUUGCAGCUUAAAUAGAACCCUGUUUCUUUUUUUAAUUUACUUCUGAUGCUUAAUUACUUAUGUCUAAAGAUUUUGAUGUUUAGUUAUAGUCCUUAACAUCAUUGAAAAUUUCCAGCAUGCACAAGAAUGAAGAUGUCUAAUCUUCUUUUCACUUCUGUUUGGUGCAAUAUCCAUGGAUAAAUGGCUGCUGUUUAUGCGUUUAAAUUAGGGGAUAAUUGGCAUCUCGAAAUCUGUUUGUAAUGCUUGAAAAUACUUGAUUUGAUGCUGGACUUGAUGGUAAUGAAAGGUUAAAGAGGCAAGACACCGUAUAUUAAAUGGGUGUGAACAUAAUGCACACAGACACCAAAUCUUUGAAGAACCCAGUUUGUUGAUUUUGGUAUGUUAAAUUAUUAGUUCUUUUUAUGCUCUUUCUUUUCAUUGAUUUUUCAUUAAUCCUUAGUUAUGUUUUGAUUUCAUCUAAAGUUUAAAAUUGAAAUUUUUAACAAAAGUUAUUAAGUCUGUCUCUGGGUAAAUGUUUACACCUUCCUUUCAUAAUCAUUUUCUUGAACCUAAUUUUCUCUAAAAAUUUAUCAGUAAUAGUUUUAGCAUCCAAUCUUCCUUCUACAAUGAUUAGUAGUGGCUCUCUCCACCCUUUGGAUUUUGAAAUAAAUUGAUUUUCAUUAAUUUUUUGGAGGUUGCUACAACGCUGGCAUCACUUCUUUCUGCUCAACUGUUUGAUCAUCUAUGGGAAAUCUAAAAGUUGACUACAAAAAGAAGAAGAAAAAAAAGGAGAAAACUGCAUCUGCUUUGGAUACAUUCUGUAUACCAAACACUUCAAUUAUCACGAUUUGCUGUGAACAUGAGCUGCAUCAUUUAUGGAGGUAUGCAUACCCGAGAAUGACAUGAUGAAGAAGUUGAAGAAAAACCAUCUAAGAUAUGAGUACCGUGGAACAGGUCUGACAAGUAAUUUUCAAGAUCAUCAGGUCCAAACCUCACCAACAUCGCCAGAUUUUUCUCACCAUUCAACACCCCCAAGUACUUACCAUAGAAUUCUCUGUACGCUGGUACAAGUUUCUUUUCUAUUGACAGCUUAAGUUCAUCCCUUAAUUUUCUAUCUGGUACAAUCCAUGAGAUCUGUUUCAUAUAUGCUGCUUCAAAUGCCGCAUUAAACUGUCUAAAGUGCUCCUUUGCCACUUCAGGCGAUACCAUUGUGGAACCUUUCUCUGGCAAGGAUGAGAGGACUUUAGUCCAUGCUGUUGCUUCGUAGCUUGAUGCAUAUAGUUUAACUUUCUUUAUAUGCCUUGCUACCCAUUCAUCUCCAAGGACGUUGUGUAAAUGAGUUGUCUGAACUUCAUUGACUAUGAAGAGAAGAUUGUUAGCUAGGAAAAGGUAGGACAUAGAUAUAUCAUUGUAUAACUCAGCUUUUCUGUCGAGCUUGCAUAAAAGAGCUAGUAUGAGCCAAGCAAGGUGAGUCGAUGCUGCUGGAGUUAAACCGUCUUCAGAUGCUGGAUUCUCAAAACAAGAUUCUGGGACUGGUGAAUUUCUUGGAAGUGGAUGAUCAGCUAGAAUAUCAGAUAGAAUUCCACUGUGUUCUGCGAGAGAACAUAUGUAACUCAUUGCUGAUCGGGCCAGUAGGUGAAUUCCACCACCAGGAGGUAUGGUUUUUGAUGAAUCCCUCUGGAUUGUUGAUUCGAAAUUCAAUAAAAGGCUGCAGACAGUGUCAGCAAGUUUAUGUAGUGAUGAAAGGGCCUGCAACUUAAUAACUGAGGUCAAUUCAGAGUUGAAUAUUAACUCUAUAUCCUGCCAGAGCUCAGAGAUUGCUUGAUGGAGUUCCAUUAGCCGGAAAAUUCGUCCUGGCAAUUUCUUCUUCUUCGAAAUAAUUUCUGGAAACCUGAAUAGUGUAAUUGUUUUUUCUUUGCUGAUCUCGUAAAAGCAAGACUCUCUAAUUGUUUUAGAAGCUGAAAACACAUAAUCACAGAGCAUUUUUUCUCCAUUGAGGAGUGUUUUCACUGCAAUCUUUAUUGCAUUCAGCCACUUCUUGGUUACAUGCUCCAGUGCUUCCCCAUCCAUUUUCUGAAUAUGGGAAUUCUUAAUUCUCUCCAUUCCAAGCAGGUACAGUCCUUCAUCUAUGAUUGACUUUCUGAUUAACUUGUAAAUCCUUAUACACUCUUUCCCGUAACCACAACUGAUCAUACACUCAGCUACUGCCUUCAGGUCUGACAUCACGAGAAUUGAGUCCUUUUCUACCUCAGUUAUUGACUCACCAGCUUUUUUCAUGUCAGCCUCAUCUUCAGAUACCAUCUCGUGUUCAUCAUCAGAAUUGCUCGACCCAUCUGAUGAUCGGCUUGACACUGAUUCUGGAUCAAGCUUAUCACGGUUUGAAGAUAAUAUGAGGUAAAACUCAUUUUCAAGCCUUUUCAUGGCCGUUUGCAUGAGGUUCUGAGCAAGUACAAGUUUGUCAGAAGUUGAAUCUUCUGAGACGAAAAAAUGCAUAGCUCUUCUCAAAUCUUUGACACUUUUUAGAAACUGCUUUGCUUCUUUUCUGUUAUGCUGAAAGAUAGAGGUGACUUUGGUGUAUGUUGAAGAAUUAGUGUCCCAUUUGGUGAUGAUUGAUUCUGCAGUUUCAAUGGUUUCUUCCAUCAUUGAAUGGGAGAAUGCAUGAUGGACCGGGGUGGGAGGAGCAGAACCACUAGGAAUCGAGGAAGAAGAAGGAAGGAGCGAUUUCGAGGAUGGGAAGAACAGAGUUGACAGUACUUUUCUUCCCAUGACCGUGUUGGUCCUAGCAGUUCCCAACACCCCCAUUAGGCUUUAAAGACUGAACCGAAAAAAGAAAGAACUUUACGAUGUAAAAGAUGAAGCUCCAAUUUUUGAGAGCUCGUUGUGAUUUGCUUGGUUUGUGAUUUAUGCUUUGUGGUUCUGCUCUUGAAGGAGUUUUAUAAUGGAAACAGCCGCAAGUUUCCAGUUGAGGAAGGUGUAUUUUUAGACCAAGAAACCAUUGACUGACUCAAGUUGAUGUAUGCUUGUCCCCCAUAAUAGGAGUUUCUUGAGUGGACUUAUGAUUACAUAUUACAUAUUUUAUGACAGUAUGGAUCAUGAAAAUAGUUUAAAAAUCCUUGACAAUCUCUCUAGAUUAUAUCUUUACCAUGUCUCCAAAGGUUUCUGACUUGCAACUUGUUUUGGCAGGAUUUUGGAGAGGAGAUAGUAAUCUUCAAAGCCAGGUUUUAGGAUGAAAGUCCAAAUCAAGAAAACCCAGAUAAGCAGAGAGAGAGAGAGAGAGAGAGGUUAUGGUACAUAUUGGGUGUUCAGUGGUAGAUUUUCAUUGUCAAAUUAUUACUUUAACCUUCACCAGUGAUUUUACUGUCCAGCAAAUGACAUAUCCUUCUUUCUAGCUUCGUCUUAUGGUUUCUUUGACUCGUUUGAUUUAUCCCCCCAACACCAGCAGUUACUGGCCAAUGAGUAACAAAAAAGAAAAGUAAGUUGUUUUGCAAAAAUAAAUUCAAUUAAGUUGAUAAAUCACUUGGGUGAUUACUCAAAUUGGUUUAUAAGCUAAAAAUAAAACCAAAAUUCUAUAAAUUAUUUAUUUAUUUAUUUAUUUCUUAAAUAAUUAUAAAUAUAAUAAAAAUAAUGAUAAAGGAGAAAAUUAAGGUGGGCCCCACUGCCACUAAGAAAAUAAAAUGAAUUUUAAGAAGAUUCCAGAAUUCAAAAACCAGAAAAACAAAAAGGAAGAGUUGACGCUCUCCCUCGCGCACUUCUGCUUCUAAAGUUUGUCAAAACCGAGUGAGUUGACUCACAAGGAUUAUAAUCUUUUGGGUUUUUCUUUAAUUAUUUAUUUAACCCAAUAAAUAUAAUAUAAUAUGUAUACAUACAUAUAUAUUAUAUUCAAUAUAUGAACGUGAGUCAGUUCAAAAAAUAAUAAAAUGAACGCAUAUAUACUUGUUUUCAUGUAUUAUGCGUGUGUGUGUGUGUAUAUAUAUAUAUAUUAUUCUUUUACGUAAAGAGGGAAUUAAAUCCUUAAUCAGACCCUUCAAAGCUUACGUGUUGAUUAACAAUAAUUUUACAAAAAUAAUAAUUUAGUAAUCAUGUUCAUUAGUCUCCUAAUGAUUUGGAUUUGCUGGCGCAUUUAGAUGCCAUUAGAUGCCAAACAUAUUCAAAGAUUAAUUGGAUUAAUUACAUCAUUGGGGUUUGGGUUGACCAAAUCGUUUUUGCAUUAAAUUUUAAUUUAUUAAUUUGUUAAUUUACUUAACUUAAUAGGUGAGUUAUCUAUUACGUAAUUGUUAAUUAUUAUUUUUAAUAUUUAUAUAAUUAUGAAGAGUAAGAAAAAACAAAAACAAAAUUAAAACCUAGAAUAUGAUCGAAUUAAAGGUUUGAAUUGGUCUUGAUAAUUGCACAAAGAUAAGUUGUGAUCACCAAAUUAAAAAUACUACACAUAUAUAUAUAUAUAUAUAUAUAUACACACACACACACUCGUUGCUUUCAACAAGUGUAGAUUAUGUUAUCUUGUAUGUUAUUUAUAUAAAUUGAUAUGGAUGGUAAUUAGUUUAAUUCAUUUAUGACUUUAAUAAACAAGAUAGUUGACCAAGCGAGCAAGGUCUAUAGUAUUAAUUUUUAACCUAUAAAUUCUUUGUUUUUUUAAAAAAAAAACAAAUUAAGUAAACCUAAACUAAUGCUUUAGAUGAAGUCAUUUUCAGGUGAGGGAAAAUGCUGAUCACAAAAAUUUCCUUCAUGGGUGAAAUGCUAUACAUACAUACAUACAUAUAUAUAUAUAUAUAUGCAGAGGAGAGAAAACUGAAUCACAAUAUUAUCUUGAACCAAACUUCGAAGAUUUUGGAUAUGAUAAGCGAGAGAAGAUUAGUAAUUUAAGCUUUGACUUUGACUUUAGGUGUGGAUUAAGAAUCUUUGAAGAAGGAAAAGAAAAAGAUGUUUGGCAAAUCAAGAAUUGUGAGAUACCCACAAGCCACAAUCAUAGACCAACUUAAUCAUUUAAAAAGAAAUUUCAAAUGAAAUUGUUUUAGUGGGAUAUGUAUAUGUAUGUGUAUGUGUAUGUGUAUGUGUAAUUCACUAAAUAGUUUUAUUUAAUACUCAUCAUAUAACAGGGGGAAAAAAUAUAUAUAUAUGUUUAGAAACAUUGAUAUUUUGAGGUUUUCUAAUACCUAAUUUCUUAUUAUUUUAGGGAACAUAUCAUGCAAUUACCAGAUGAUUGAAUACUUGAACAUGUGAUUAAACAAAAUCAUCAGGUAAGAAUUUUUGUAACAUCACAGCACAAUUAAGUCUAUCCCAUUGCAUAAAAGUAUUUAUAGACUGAUGGUUGCAUAAAAGUACUCAAGUUUUUAUUCAAUUUCUACACGAUUUUUAUGUCAAGUUUUAUUCAUAUAAUUUAUUAUGUUUAAAUUAUAAUUACUUUGAUCUUAAAUCUUAAUGAAUAUUCCAGUACUUGAUUUUUUUUUUUUUGGAGAAAAUAAAAUUAAUCCCUUAAAUUAAACAGAAUAAAUCAUAACCCAUAAAAGUAGAAAUUGCAAAAAAAAAAAACAAAAAAAACAAGAGGUUGCAAAGUCAUCCAUCAACAUGACAAAGGACUCCAUCCAUGAAUAAGAAACUAUUAACUUAAUAUCAUCAUCAAUUACUACUGGCCAAAUAUCAGAUUUUGCAGUUUUUAUUUCCAUUUUAUCAUCUUUAUAUAUUGUGUUCACACUUCUAUUUUAUACAAUCAAAAUUUUAAAAAUUAAAUUCUCACCAGAAAUUAAAACAAAACAAGUCUACUCAAAACUCUCAGAACAUCAAUGAAUUUCUUCUAUAAACUCUCUACUCUUUCACCAACAACAACAGAUCAUAUCAAAUCAUUCCCAAGAUCGAGUUAACAACAACCGCAAAAUCCAUCUCCCCCUAUGUAUGUAUAGGCCAGUCAAUUUCUUUUUCAACCACGUUUGCAAACUUUCUUUAGCCUUACAGGUAUUACCUAUGAACUACAUUUCUAUCCAAACUUGAAUCCAACCACACAAUCUAAAUUCAGACUGAACCGAAACUCAAACUAUCUUAAUUCCAAAAGUUCAAACACUCAACAUAUGAUAUCAUAUAUAACCUUAAAAAACCACCUGAUACAAAAGAAAAUUGAAAAGCCACCUGAUAGACACCAUAAAUCAAACGAAACUAUAACCUUAAAACCUCUCCUCUUGAAAUGCAUUCAAGCCUAAACCUUCUAUCGAGCUCAGACCCAAACAAAAACUCUCCUCAACUUGACUACAUUGGAAAAAUUCGAAACAUGGAAAAUAUUAAAAGAAAAUAUACAAAGGAAAACCAGUAAAAGCCGAAAAAUAUCCAAUAAAAGCCAGAAAGGAAUUCAUUAUAAUGGAAUAGAAAUUCUCCUCUUAACUACCACACACAUCAAAAAGGUAGACGCUUUCAUUUAAUAUGAGAAAACAAUUUAACACUAAGUCAAACUCCACAUUCAGGAAGACAAACAUAAAAAAAUUUGCGAGAUUCUAAAAUAUCAUAUCUGACCUAUCUACCCUAAACCUUAAUGGCAUACUUCCUCAUGGGAAAAUACAUUUCCUUCUUCUUCUCACGUUCCGUCUUCAGCGAUGCCUGUUAAGUCAAAACAUGUCAUAGGCAUUAGGAAAAUAUGAAAAAGUCAGCAAGCAAGCUCUUAAGAAAGUUCGGUUGCAAGAACAAAGAAAUGCAUAGAAACUGUUGGAAACCUCCUCUGCAUUGAGGUUCCAAUACAAUCGGCACAACUUCAAAUCUCUUCGAAUUAGUAAAAGAAGACAAAAUAACCAUAUUCAGCACAGUGAAAUUUAGAUAUGAGAGCAGCCAAUUGUACCACGCUAACAUAACUGAAUAUCUAUAGGUCAAUACAGAAAAGUCUAAAUCGAAUAAUCAACUAUGCUCGUGAUAAAAGGACAAUCAAAUAGUCACAAAAUCUAGUUAUCUAAGACAACAGCCUAGCCUCCAAAAAGUAAUGGCAAAACAAUAUUCAUAACAAGAAAUCAAGAGUCGAACUUUAUGGUAAAGCAUUAUCUAUAUCACAAUAUGGAAGAGCAAAACUCCUAAAUUAUUCAAUUAAAACUUUGAAGAACAAAAUUCGAAUGCAGAGUCUUCAUCAUCAAAUGAAAGCAAAAAUGGAAAGACCAAAGAAUCAAAGCAGCAUGGUACCUGGUGCUUGGUUAGCCUUCUCCUGAUGGCUCUUGUCUUCUUGGGGCGCAGAUCAAGUGGCAAGUACUUCUUCUUCUUGUAUGCCUCCCUCAGUGCAGCCUUCUGCUUUUGAGAAAUAACAGUCAACACCUGGGCAAUCGACAACCUCACCACCUUGCUGCACUCCAUUUAAAUUGAGAAAGUAAAGGUACGAACAUCGUAGGAAUAACACGACUAUACAAUCUACGCAACAACACAAAGAGAUAGGGAGAGAUGAACAUACAUCUUGGAUAGCUUAUUAGGAGCACCGCCUGUGACUUUAGCGACGCGCAGGAGUGCGAGCUCGGCCUUCAGAUCCUUCAGCUGGUUCAACAGAUCAGCCUUCGACUUCUGCCUAAGCUCGUGAACCUUGAUCCUCGCUGCUCAUAUCAUAUUACCUCCAUGUUUUAGUAAAAUGAAACAGAAAAUAAAGAAGAACACGCAGAAGGAACAUGAUUAUCUGAAGACGCAGUAAAGAAAGGAGACGGUGAGAAUGAAAAUCACAUUACCCAUUGUCGUCGGCCGGUUCCUGUCUCUGUUUCGCAAAACCCUAAAAAAUGAGGAAAGACUUAGGGUUCCGUUUACCGUAACUUUAUUUAUAUAUGUAGCUGCGGUAAGGCAAAAGGGAAAAACAACAUUUUAUAUGUAGCUUUAUCCCUGUAAAUAAAAAAUAGAGUGUUGCUGGGCUGGGCUUGAAUUUUUUAAAGAGUUUGAUAAAAAAAAAAAAAAGAGGUGAAUUUUUCUUUUUCUUUUUUUUAAAUAUUAUUAUAUGUUCUUAAAUUAAAUUUGAAUUUAGAAUCAAUUUUCUUAUUUUUUUUUAUUUAUUUUAAACAUAAUCUUGGAGCCGUACUAAAAAUAUUCUAAUUUCACUUCAAAAUGGGGAUAAAAAAGUUUACUAGAAUGUAAAAUUAAAGAAUAUGUAUCAGUAUAAAUAUUUCUCGAGAUAGAAUUUAUAAUCUUUUAAAAGAAAAUAUUAUAUAGUUUAUACUCCUAUGUGUAAAGUUCUAUUUGUGCAUGUAUUUUUUUUAUUUAUUGAUUCAUAUUCAAAAGAAAUUAACAUUUGAAUCUACAAAGUUUUUAAGAUUCAUCAAAUCUAUUAAGCUAUUUUUGGGUUUUAAUAUCAUAAAAAUAUUUUAAGAGUAGACUGAAUUCAUGACUAACAAGUUUCUGCAAUGGGGCACUCUGGAAUAUCAUUAGUUCUGUAAUGAUGAUGCAUCUGAUAAACUUUGCAACAUACAACAAAUGAUUAAGCAAGAAGACAUCCAUUAAUCUUAACUUAAACACAAAAUUUGCACAAGAGACAUACUCUUAUUAAAAGAUUCUAGAAAAUUGAGUAAACAAAAUGAGUUUCAGUAUCUACUUUUACAUGUCCAGAAAACAGGUAUUUUUACUAAUUCUGCUACUUAACAAAAAGGUCAUCAUUUUCUAUCUAAUUACAAUUUUGUCAUUCUAUUUACAAAUCGACCUCGUAUCAUAUUCUUUCACCCCCUCCAUAGGCUGGAGUAUACAUAUUGUCAAUACCCAGCUUGAGUAUAGCAUUUUUAAAUAAAAGAGGAGGCAAGAGGUUUGGUAAAGCAAUCUGCAACUUGAUGAGAAGAAGAAAUGGGCAGCAGCCGAAGGACCCCAUCUCAAAUUUUCUGGCGAACCACGUGGCAAUCGAUCUCAAUGUGUAUAGUAAAACAGAGAUUUCAGCUAUUUUGAUAGCAGAAGAAUUAUCACAGUAGACCAAAUUUGUACCUACAGAUUCAACCUGCAAAUCAUGAAAUAAAUAAAGCAGUCAUUGUAUCUCACAAUGACUGACCCAAGAAAACACAAUAACCAGUUAUGGAUUUACGAGAAUCUGCACAUGUCCCCCAAUAUGAAUCACUAAAGCCUUUGAGUUGCAAAGAAUUUUGUCCAGGAUAAAACAACCCCUGACCUGGAGCAUUCUUCAAAUACUGUAGCACCCGGUGUGCAGCUUGCAUAUGACACCCUGUCAGUGCUUCUAGGAACUGCAAAAGUUGUUGCACAGCGAAGGUAAUAUCCAGCCGAGUGUGGGUGAGAUACAAGAGUUUUACAAGUAGUUGCCUGUAAGUGGUGUUGUCAACGGCUGGAGAACCAUCACUCUUGCUCAAUUUAACGGAAGAAACCAAGGGAGUAGCUGCUGGUUUGCUUCCUAAAAACCCAAUUUCAGAUAGAAGGUCCAACAUAUACUUUCUUUGACAUAUGUUGAUACCUUUAUCUGAACGUGCCACUUUAAAUCCAAGAAAAAACUUCAACUCUCCAAGUUCCUUGAUGCCAAAAGUUUUAUGGAGGAAAGUCUUUAUAUCUUGAACCUGAAAUAGACAGUUGCUGGCAACAAUUACAUCAUCAACAUAUAUCACUAAGGCAAUAAAGGUGGAACCAGAAUGUUUAAUGAACAAGGAUGAGUCGGCAUGAGCUUGCACAAAUCCCUUUCCUUUCAAGGCUUCAGUAAGCUUGAAAUUCCAUUGUCUACUAGCCCAUUUUAAACCAUAAAGACUCUUUUCUAGCUUGCAAACUUGAUCUGUGGCAGCAUUAAAACCUGGUGGAGGCAGCAUAUAUACUUCUUCUUGAAGGUCUCCUUAAGGAAGGCGUUGUUAAUGUCAAGCUGAUGGAGAAUCCAUCCCUUGGCAGCAGCUACAGCAAGCAGCGUUCUAAUAGUGGCAACGACUCCAUCAUUAAAAUCUGUGUUUUUACAAUAUCAAAUGGCUCAUUUAAACCUUUGAGAAAUCUUGUUACCCUAUCUUCUUCUUGAUACCUUUUACAUUUACAGUCACCAUUUUCAGUAGGUCUUAAAUUCAACAACUCAUCCCACAGAAUUUUAGCCUUGGUAAAAUACUCUGUUACCGAGCUCACUCCUUUCAGCAUAAAAAUCUCAUCCUGGAGGUCCGAAAUUAUUACUAAAUCUCCUUGGCCAAAUCUAUCAUGUAAGUCCUUCCAUAAAUCUUUUGCAUAAUCAAAAGACACUGAACUUUGUGCUAUGACAAGGGAUAAGGAUCUCAUGAUCCAUGACAACACCAUAAGUAUUACACCUUUCCCAUGCCUCAUAUAUCGAAUCCUCUUUACUAGGAAUAGGAAUCGUUCCAUCAACAAAUUUCAUUUUAUUCUUGGUAAUCAACGACAUCCUAGCAAAUCUUGACCAAUUGUAAAAAUUGUUACCUGCAAGAAGCGCGGAUGUCAACUGCAGUGAGGGACUUUCGUUCGGGUGCAGGUAGAACGGAUUCGAAAUACUUCCUUCAAAACUUUGAUGAGUCUGUGCUGGCUGAAGUUUCCAUGUGUACUUGUUAGGCAGCAAACAUCAAUCCUCAAGAUAUCAAGUUCCGUCUUCAAGAACUUAGGGUUUUCGACUUUACAAAAUCAAAAUCGAAGGAGAAACUCAAUUGCUCUGAUACCAUGUUAAACUUUGCAACAUACAACAAUGAUUAAACGAGACGACAUCCAUUAAUCUGAACUAAAACACAAAAUUUGCAGAAGAGACAUAUUCUUGAUUGAAGAUUCUAGAAAACUGAGUAAACAAAAUGAGUUUCAGUAUCUACUUUUACAUAUCUAGAAAACAGGUAUUUAUACUAAUUCUGCUACUUACAAAAAGGACAUCAUUUUCUAUCUAAUUACAAUUUUGCCAUUCUAUUUAUAAAACAACCUCAUAUCAUUUCUUUCAGUGGAAAAUAUAAUAAUUGUACAUGGCUAUCUUUUCCUCUUUCGACCAAAAAAUGGAAUCUUGUCAUUCCCAAGAUCAAGUUCACAGCAACCUUAAAAUCCAUCGCCUAUAUUCAUUUUUCAAUGGCGUUUAUUGGCUUUCUUUCUACUCACUCAGUCAUACAUACAAAAGAUGCCACAUUGUAUAUUCAUAAACUUAUAGGUAUACUUAAGAACUAGGUUACCACAUAUCUAUGAACUCAGAAAUACAAGCAAAUCACCCAACUUCAAUCUAACUUCAAACUAAGUUCAAACUCAAAUUAUCUUAACAAUUCCAAUAACAUCAAAAUUUUAAUAUCGUAUUAUAUAUUACUAAAUAAUAUUAGUAUGGAAAACUGAUGAACACCAGUGGUCUAGUUGUUGAAUAUUGAUAUGGAAAACUGAACAAGAUUAGUCAGAAAAUAUGAAUACCCUAUUUAUCAACACAACCAUAAGUCAAACAGAACUACAACCUCAAAACCUCUACCAUUAAAAAGAAUUCAAGCUUAAACCUUCAAUCAAACUCAAAGCCAAACAAAAACUCUUCUCAACUUGAUAACAUUGGAAAAGAGACAAUCAGAGAAACUGCUAAAAGAAAACAUAGGAAGAAAAUACACUAAUCUGGCAAAAAAAUAAGAUUCCAAUAAAAAAACAGAGAAAUUCAUCAAAAAACUAAGCACCUUCAAUUAAUAUGGGAAAACCAUUACAAACUAGCUCAAACUCAACAUUCAGAAAGACAAAUACUCAAAAUUUGCGGAUCAAAUAGGUUUAUAAUUUGCGAGGUCCUACAAAACAUCAUAUCCGACAGAUCUACCCUACACCUUAAUGGCAUACUUCCUCAUGGGAAAAUAUAUUUCCUUCUUCGUCUCACGUACUGUCUUCAAUGAUGCCUGUGAAGUCAAAACAUGUCACAGGCAUUAGGAAAACAUGAAUAAUUUAGCAAGCAUGUACUUACAACAGUUCAGUUGCAAGAACUAAGAACUGGUGGAAACCAAAAGAAUUCAAUAAGUGUAGCCAUUCUUCCUUUUCACAAAACAAUCGAUAGAGACUUUAGGGAUUCUCUGCUUCAUUGAGGCUCUCUAAUAUUAUCAGCACAAUUAAAAGUUCUUUAUAUUUGUAAAAGCAUACAAAACAACAAGAUUCAUCAAAGUGAAAAUUUAGAUAUUGGAGCAGCCAAUUGCACUACACUAACAUAACUGGAACGAUUGUUGGUCACUACAGAAAUUGGAAAUUGGAUAAUCAAACACGGACGUGGUUAAAAAGAAUCAAAAUAAUAACCGAAACUAGUUAUGUUAAAUAACAGCUUAGGACCAAAAUGCAAGGGGAAAAGACAGUAUUCAUAAAAAUGUUUUUUUGUUCUUUUUGAUCUCCCUCGAAAAGAAAUCAAUAGCUGCAUGUACGGUAAAAAAUUAUCAAAAACACAACAUAAAGCAACGUAACCCUGUAAAUUAUUCGAUUAAAACUUUUAAUUCUAAUACAAAAACUUCUAACGAGUGCAAGCAAAAACGGAAAGAGCAGAGGAUCGAAGGAGCAUGGUACCUGGUGCUUGGUUAGCCUUCUCCUAAUGGCUCUUGUCUUCUUGGGGCGCAGAUCAAGUGGCAAGUACUUCUUCUUCUUGUAUGCCUCCCUCAGUGCAGCCUUCUGCUUCUGAGAAAUCACAGUCAACACCUGGGCAAUCGACAGCCUCACUACCUUGCUGCACUAAACCAAAAUUGAAAAAGUCAAGGCAUGAACGCUCAUAGCAAUAGCACGACCAACCUAAGCAACAUCACACGCAGAUGGAGAGAGAUUAACAUACAUCUUGGAUAGCUUAUUAGGAGCGCCCCCUGUGACCUUCGCGACGCGCAGGAGCGCGAGCUCGGCCUUCAGAUCCUUCAGCUGGUUCAACAGAUCGGCUUUCGACUUCUGCCUAAGCUCGUGAACCUUGAUCCUCGCUGUUCAUAUCAUAUUACCUCCAUGUGUUAGAAAAUGAAACAGAAAAUAACAAAGAAUACACCGGGGGAACAUGAUUAUUUGAAGAUUAGAAAUAAAGGAGACGGUGAGAUUCAAAUGCACAUUACCCAUUGUCGACUGCCGGUUCCGAUAUCUGCUUCACAAACCCUUAAAAAUGAGGAAAGAAUUAGGGUUUCACUUUGUCUAACUUAAUAUACGUAUUAUCCCUGUAAAUUAAAAAAAAAAAAAAAAGGAAAAUAGAUGGUGGGCUGAGCUUUAGUUUUAAAAGAGUUGGAAAAUAAGCCCAAAAAAUGUUUUAUAAAAUAUGAGGUGAAUUUUUCUUUUUUCUUUUUUUUUAAUGAUAUUAGAAUUUAUAUUAUGUGUUAUUAAAUUAAAUUUAAAUUUAGAAUGAAUUUUUUUUAUUUUUACUUAUUUAUUUUAAAUAUAAUCUUAAAGUCUUACUAAAAAUAUUCUAAUUUCAUUGUGAAAUGAGGAUGAAAUUCUAUAAAAGAGUAAUUAUUGAGAUGUAAAAUUAAAAAUAUGUUUCAAAGAUAUACAACUUAUAAUUUUUUGGGAAAAAAAAAACAUUAUAUAGAUUGUAGCCCAUGCCUCCAUCUGCCUUAGUGAGACAAAUCUUUGACCAUGUGAAUCUUCUUUACCCCUCCUUACACAACAUACCAAAACUGUAUAAUUAAUCCCUUCAAAUUGCAAAUAAACAUUUUUGUGAAGCAAUAAGAUAUUCAUACUGUAACGGCUCCAGAAAUUUAAAAGGAAAUACAUAUAAUAAUCUGAAUACGGAAGCGAACUAAAAUACUAAGGUUAAUAUCCCUUAUACAAUAACUUAAAAGUACUAAAUAAUAUCAUAAAAUAAGUUCUCUCAAAUAAAUAGGAAAAAAUAAAGGAAACUAUAAGAUAUCUAGCAUCUACUCGCCGUCUUCUUGUGGAUCGGGUUCGGGAAUCAGGUCCUCCUGAUCUGAAAUGGUUAAGUAAGGAAUAAGUUACACUAACCCAAUGAGGACAUCACACUAUUACCGUCACAGAAGUAAAGGCCGGUAAAAAACUAAAAACAACAAAUAGAGCACAUAUUUUAAACAAAUUUAUUUAUCAAUAAUUAAACCAUUUACCGUCCACUUACCGCAAUGAGAUUUAUAAAAAUAACCUAUAGAAACAAUAACAUUAUAAAUAUCAUGAAUUCAUAUAUAAUCUGUAACAUAGCACAUAUCAUACUUUUAUAUUCAAAUCAUCAAACAACAAUUGCUCCUUUUUAUCAGCCUACUAGUAUCCAUGGGGACCCAUAGGGGUCCCCGCUACACGUGAACCAUUCCCCUUAACAAACUUAAUUCUACGGCCGUCCCUACACCCCGUCCGAUAUGAGCACCAAAAUAAUAAACCUCAAUACCUCGUCUAGUAUGAGGGUGAAGUGGGUCGUCCCCAAACUCCGUCCGGUAUGAGGGUGAAGCAGGCCGCCCCAUACCCCGUCCAGUAUGGGCGUCAAAUCACCAAGUCUCCAUACCCCGUUCGGUAUGAGACAAUGUUCAUGGUAGGGUUCCCUAUGAACCCAGCCCGUCCACCAUCUCUUAGGAUAUCUAGUGAGGCUGUCAUCUUAUCCAUUUAUCAAAUCACACCCCCAUUUCCUAUUUUUUCUUAGUCUCCGUUACUAAUUCAAACAUGAAUACUUAAACAAGUAACGUGCAUCCAACAAGGCAAGCAUAUCUUAGAUUCCAAAAAUCAAACAGUAUUGAAGUAAACAGUGAUUCAUGCAUUCAAAAACAUAGAAUAAAUAAACUAAAUACCAUAAUGCAUUUAAACUAUAAAAUAAAUCAAACAAGAAUUGACAGAGAAAUAUAUCCAGUUCGGGCUCCAUUAGCAACCAUAAUUAAUUAUGCAUAUCUAUUUAGUUUGUACAAAAUACAGUAUUAUCAUUUAUUCAGACUUCAAUUCCAUGAUAGGAAAUAGAGUGAGGGGUCCUUACGUGAUUUGAUGCUGAAAACUAGAAUUUCACUGCGCCUACGGGCGGUCCCUCGGUUUCCUGAAUUUUUAUCGGAAACUGAAACGCACUUAUGGUACCUACACAUGUCCAAAAUAAUGCAAAAAUCAUACCUAGGGCCUAUUCGGCGAAUUUUGGAAUUCUGGCACGACAGCUCUGUCGUGUUUCGGUGAAGGCGAUCCGCCUUGGGUUUGCUAUUUUCGACCGUUUUUGGCCGAAUUCAGCCAAACUUGCAUCAGUUCCUGUGAGAAAACACCCUUUGAACCCUCGGUGGGCCGAAAAAACACAGAAAACAUAAACUUACCGGUGGUGGGGCUCUCCGGUGCGGUGACUCCUCCAGCUCACGUCGCGAUUUGGUGUUUUGCUCCGAUCAACCUGUAAAUGAGGAAACCGUGAUCACAAAGGUGAAAAAAUCACAUUGAACAGGAAUCGGAAAGGGCCUCAUCGGAGGCAAAAAUUGAGACACCCUGCGGCGGCGCCGCUAGGCUUCGGUAGUGUUUUUCGGCCAAUUGAUCGGUGAUUUCGCUCCGAUUUGGCCAUAAAUGGGUUUAGAAUCGAAUUCUGAGCAAAAUGUAGAAUUUUUACCUCGUUUGGCGACCAGAAAUUGCUCUGGUACGGCAGCGGGUGGUGACGGUCGGCUCCCCGGCGGUGGGCUGUCUUCCUCGACGAGGGGCUUUAGCUGCUAGGGUUAGGGUUUGGGUGCGGAUGAGAUUAUUUAUAACCAUCCACUUUUGAUCUGAACCGUCCAUCGCAUUUAAUCUGAACCGUCCAAUCACGAUUAAGUAGAAAAUGAAUAUGGAUCAUUCAUCGCGAUUCAAUUUGGACCAUCCGUACUCGAUGCAAUCUGGAUCGUCCGUGUGCGAAGCAAUCUGGGUCGUCCGUAUGCGCGGGAACGGAUCUAAGCCAUUCGAUCGCGCACACGUGGAUCACCCAUGUAGCUCCUUUCUGCGUGGUCUCCCACGUCAGCAUCUCUGCCACGCAGCGCGUCCUAGUUGGUCGGGGCUGCUAACCGGGUAGCUGACGUGGCGCAAUUUUUUUAAAUUACUUUUUGGCCACAGGUUUUCAAUUUUUCUUUCAAAAAUACCAUCAUAAUCCAAAUUUUUAUCCCUUUUUCCAAAAUUAUUUUCAAUUAAAUCCCUAAAUAAAUUUUAUCCCUUAUUAUUAUUAUUAUUAUUAUUAUUAUUUCUAUUUGAAUAAAUUAAAUUAAAUUAAUAAUAAUAAAAUUUUAAAAAAAAAUUCUUGGGUUUUACAACUCUCCCCCUUUUAAAGAAAUUUGGUCCCUCAAAUUUGCUUUUUACUCUCGAUCGAACAACUGGGGGUACUGGGCUCUAAAGUUUGAUUCUAGCUCCCACGUAGCCUCAUUUGGUGUGUGGUUUUGCCAUAUGACCCUUACAAAGGAUAUUUCCUGGUUGCGGAGUAAUCUACUCUUUCGAUCCGUAAUGCCGACUGGUACUUCCUCGUAGGAUAAGUCUUCCUAGAGUGUGAGGAGUUCGUGGAUCAAGAUAUGAGAGGGGUCCGGGUUGUACUUACAUAGCGUGGACACAUGAAACACAUUGUGGACCUUGGAAAGCUCUGGAGAUAGUGCUAGUCUGUAGGCGGCGGUACCAAUCCUGUCUAAGACUUCAAAUGGUCCAAUAAAUCGGGGGUUCAGUUUUUGCCUCCUCCCGAACCUACUAAUUCCCUUGAAAUGAGUUACCUUAAGGAACGUCUGGUCGCCUUUCUCAAACGCUAAAUCUCUCCUCCUGGUGAACACUCUUCUGUCUGUUCUGAGCCAUUUGAAUGUUCCUCCUGAUCUUAACUAUCUUGGAUAUGGUCUCCUUUACUAGCUUUGGGCCAAAUAAUUUUCUAUCGCUCACUUCUUCCCAACAAAUCAACGAUCUGUAUGGGCAUCCAUGUAACACCUUAUACGAAGCCAUGCCAAUGCUCACUUGGUAGCUGUUGUUGUAGGCAAACUCUAUCAGGGGCAGACGGUCGUCCCAAUGCCCCCAGAGUAAAGGAAACAAGCUCGAAGCAUAUCCUUAAGUGUACGGAUUGUCCUUUCUAAUUGUCCAUCAGUCUGAGGGUGAAAGCAGUACUGAGGGACAGCUUCGUUCCCAUGGCUUGCUGAAAGCUACUCCAAAACCGAGAAGUGAACCUGGGGUCCCUGUUCGACACCACUGUCACUGGAACUCCAUGCAAUCUGACUAUUUUUCGGAUAUAUAUUCUUGCCAACUUGUCCAAGGGAUCGGUCAUCCUAAUGGUUAGGAAGUGGGAGGACUUGGUAAAUCGGUCAAUAAUUACCCAGAUGGCGCCAUGUCAUGAGCGUGCCUUAGGUAACCCUGUCAAGUCCUUGGUGGUAUGUUCCCACUUCCAUUAUGGGAUCGGUAAAUACUGAAGUAACCUACCUGGGCGCUGAUGCUCUACCUUGACCUGCUGACAUACCAAGCAUUUAGACAUAAAGUCAACUAUGUCCCUUUUCAUCCCAUUCCACCAAAAUCGGGAUCAAUUGAUUUGGUACAUUUUAGUGAUUCCGGGAUGCAUGACAAACUUUGAGCUAUGGACCUCUGUCAUGAUGUCUCUCUUUAGCUCACUGUCACUUGUAACACACACCUUGUCCUGAAAUUGGAGUAACCAAUCGGCGGAGACUCGGAAUUUUGAGCUAACUCCUUGUUUUGCACUGCUAUUGAGGGCUACUAGGGCGGGAUCAAGUGACUGAGUUUCCCUUAUCAUCUGGAUUAACUCAGGCUGGAUGGUCAAAUGGCCCAAACAUGUGACGCUUCUCAAGUCCUGAAGUCGAACAUGUUGUGUAGCCCCAAUUUGCCUGCAUUUUGAUACCAUUAAAUGGGUUAAGAUACCUGCACUUUUUCUGCAGAGUGCAUCGACUACCAAGCUGCCCUUACCCGGAUGGUACAAUAUAUCACAAUCAUAGUCCUUAAAAAGUUCUAUCCACAUUCUCUGACGCAUGCUGAGAUUCUUCUGAGUGAAUAUGUGUUUCAAACUUUUGUGAUCGGUAUAGAUCCAAAAGGUCUCUCCGUAUAAAAUAAUGGCGUCAAGUCUUCAAGGCGUGUAUGAUUGCGACAAGCUCUAAGUCAUGGGUGAGAUAAUUUUUUUAAUGAAUUUUUAACUGUCUGCACCCAUAGGCUAUGACAUUCCCAUGCUGUAUUAGAACACAACCCAAGUCUAUAUAUGAGGCAUCAUUGUAAACUGUAUAUCCCUCCAAUCCAAUCGGUAAGGCCAGCACAGGUACAGUAGUCAGAUGCUUCUUUAGUUCUGAAAAACUUAUUUUACAGUCCCCAUUCCACUCAAACUUGGCAUUCUUUUUUGUGAGUCGGGUUAGGGGAGUCGCUAGACUAGAAAAUCGUUCAAUAAACCUGCGGUAAUAGCCCGUCAUUCCUAGGAAGCUACGGAUUUCUUUAACUGAUGUCAAUUUCUCCCAGCCGAGCACCGCUUCAACCUUUUCAGGAUUCACUAAUACUCCAUCCUUUGAUAUGAUGUACCACAGGAAAGUGGUCUGCUCAAGUCAGAAUCCACAUUUACUCAACUUUGCAUACAGCUUUUUUCUUCUAAGAACCUGCAAAACCUGGGCUAGAUGGUGAGCAUGUUCCUCUAUGCUUUUUGAAUAUACCAGGAUGUCAUCAAUGAACACGAUAACAAAUUGAUCUAAGAAUUGUCUGAAGACCAUAUUCAUCAGAUCCAUGAAGAUGGCUGGGGCGUUGGUUAGCCCAAAUGGCAUAGUGUCUGUAUCUGGUUCGAAAAGCCGUCUUGGGGAUGUCUUAUGUCCUUAUUUUUACCUAAUGGUAGUCUGAUCGCAGGUCUAUUUUGGAGAGACCUGCCACCCUGCAUUGAUCGAAGAAGUCAUCAAUCAUAGGAAGGGGAUACUUGUUCUUGAUUGUGACCAUAUUCAAUCCUCUGUAAUCAAUACAUAGUCUCAACGUUCCAUCUCCUUUUCUUGAAAAAGCGACUCCAGCACCCCAAGGGGACACAUUAUGUCUGAUAAAACCACUGUCUUGCAAAUCAGUGAUCUGUUUCCUCAACUCCUCCAUCUCAAUGCGGCUCAUGCGGUAAGAAACAACUAAAAUAGGCUAGGUGUCUGGCUGUAGAUCUAUGGUAAACUCGACUUCCCUGUCCACUGGCAGUCCGGGUAGUUCAUCCGAAAACACAUAUGGGAAGUCUCGGACUAUCAGAAUUUUUUGAAUAUAAUUCUCUUUAUUGGGUUUGCCUAGUUAGAGAAAAUAGCAAAGUUAAGGUACUCGACAAAUAAGAAAACUUGCCAUCAAGAAAUAAAUACUAAAUAAUUUUAUUAAUUUGUAAAUGGUUCCUCAUUAGGAGGAUUAAAUAAUACCUUCUUGCUAAAGCAAUCUACGGUGGCGUGAUACGCCGCUAGCCAAUCCAUCCCUAAGAUUACAUCAAAAUUCUCCGUGCCUAAUUUUAUUAGGUCUACACUCAGUUUUCUAUUUGUUAUCUCUACGGCACAAGCCCUGUAGACAACUUCUCCCAAUAGUGUUGCACUCCCAACAAUAGACACAAAUAACAUUGAAUCAAGUUUAUCAGGUAAUACAUUAAAUUUGGGUGCAAAAACAGGUGAAACAAAUGAAUGCGAUGCACCAAUGUUAAACAAAACAUGAGCAAGAUGGUUACAGAUAGUGUACAUACCUUGUACCACGUCCGGGUCGGCAUCGACCUCCUGUUGGGUGAGGUUGUAAGCUCUGCCAUCGAUAGGAGGUUUUCCCUGAUUCUGGUUCCUUGGGCACUCUCUUGCAUAGUGUUGGGCACUACCACAUAUACGACAGGUGUUGUUGAGGUGGUAGCAUGGUCAGUCUCCGUGAUCCCUGCUGCAAUGCUGACAUAUCUUACCACGUCCUGCCACUGGACCUUGAGGGGGAGCUUGGAUCAUCGGUCUGGGCCUCUUGCUCUGUUGGACAGGCGCAGUAGGUGCUAGUCUACGGGGCGGAGCUGAGAGUCUGUGGUUCCCUGCUGACUGAGGGAGGGUGUGGAGGCUCCUCUCCACUAACUGUGCCUUGGCCAGAACGGCCGAGUAUGUCCUGAGCUCUAGUACAAACAAAUGAUGUUUGAUCUCUGGGCAGAGGCCCCACUGGAACCUCCUAGCCUUCCUGCCCUCAUCCAUCAACGUCUCAGGGGAGUAUCGGCCCAACUCUAGGAACUUACGAGCAUAUUCUGACACCGUCAUGUUCCCUUGGACCAACUGGACAAACUCUAUCUCCUUCAGAUGUCGGAUAUGCUCUAGGAGGUACUCUGCAUGAAAGGCUACUAAGAACUUUUCCCAAGUAACUGGAACAAGCAGGGUGUUCUGCUUGAGUUCCCACUAGCGGUCUGCUUCUUCCACCAGCAUAUAGGUAACAAGGGUGACCCUCUGCUCAGGAGUCACUCCUAGGGUCUUGAAGGCCUUCUCUGUCUCCGCCAACCAGUAGUAGGCAUCUUCAAAAGAGGAUUCCCCUGCAAAAGUGGAUAGGUUUAGUCUCUUAUACCUCUCUACAUAACCUGGGUCAAUCAUGAAAUGAGCUAGGUCCAGCGGAAGCGGGACUGGGCCGGGCUGAUGAUAGACUGGGGGGCCAUGUGGUAGUACUUGCUGAUAUGGUGGGGGCACUGGAUUAUACUAUGGCGGUGCCGGACAGUACUGUGGCUGGGGCAUUGGAUUAUACUGCAGUGGUGGAACCGAGUGGUAUUGUGGAGGAGCAGGGUCGUACCGGGGUGGCUUGGGAUCCUCUCGCUGCAAUGGUGGCUCAACCUGUGGCAACAGGGGAGGGUCAGGUAGCUCCCUUCUAUCAUCUCGGCCCUGCUGGGCAGCAAUGAGUCUCUCCAGCAUCUCAAAUAUCUUGUCAACGUUUUCUUGAAGCGAACCAUCCCAGGCUGCUCGGUUUAGUGGGGGUCUUCCUCUUCUCAUUUCUCCGUACCUGCAUUUCACAAAGAAGGGUUGAGUAAUGAUUCAUUGGUUUGGUGUUUCUCUAAGUAUCAUUGUGUAAGGGACGAAUUCGAGGAAUGCGGCUCUAAUACUAACUGUAACGGCAUUAGAAAUUAAAAAAAAAAUACAUAUAAUAAUCUGAGUGCUGAAGCGAAAUAAAAGAUUAAGGUUAAUAUCCCUUACACAAUAACUUAAAAGUACUAAACAAUAUCAUGGAAUAUGUUCUCUCAAAGAAAUACGAGAAAUAGGAAAAAAUAAAAGAAAUUAUAAGGUAUCUAACAUCUACUCGCCGCCUUCUUGCGGAUCGGGCUCGGGAACCAGAUCCUCCUGAUCUGAAAUGAUUAAGUAAGGAAUGAGCUACACUAGCCCAGUAAAGACAUCACACUAUUCACUGUCACAGAAGUAAAUAUUGGUAGAAAACAAAAAACAACCAAUGGAGUACAUAUUUUAAACAAAUUCAUUUAUCAAUAAUCAAACCAUUUACCGUCCACUUACCGCAGUGAGAUUUAUAAAAAUAACCUAUAAAAAUAAUAACAUUAUAAAGAUCAUGAAUUCAUAUAUAAUCUGUAACAUAGCACAUAUCACACUUUUAUAUUCAAAUCAUCAAACAACAAUUGCCCUUUUUUAUCAGCCUACUAGUAUCCAAUGGGGAUCCAUAGGGGUCCCCACUACACAUGAACCAUUCCCCUUAACAAACUUAAUUCUAAGGUCGUCCCCAUACCCCGUCCGAUAUGAGCGUCAAAACAAUAAACCUCAAUACCCCGUCCGAUAUGAGGGUAAAGCGGGUCGUCCCCAUACCCUGUCCGGUAUAGGCGCCAAAUCACCAAGUCUCCAUACCUCGUCCGGUAUGAGACAAUGUUCACAGUAGGGUUCCCUAUGAAUCCGGUCCGUCCACCAUCUCCCAGGAUAUCUAGUGAGGCUGUCAUCUUAUCCAUUUAUCAAAUCACACCCCUUUCCUAUUUUUUCUUAGUCUCUCUUACCAAUUCAAACAUGAAUACUUAAACAAGUAACGUGCAUCCAACAAGGCAAGCAUAUCUUAGAUUCCCAAAAUCAAACAGUAGUGAAGUAAACAGUUAUUCAUGCAUUCAAAAACAUAGAAUAAAUAAAUCAGAUACCAUAAUGCAUUUAAACUGUAAAAUAAAUCAAACAGGAAUUGACAGAGAAAUAUGUCCGGUUCGGGCUCUAUUAGCAACCAUAAUUAACUAUGCAUAUCUAUUUAAUUUGUACAAAAUACAUUAUUAUCAUUUAUUCAGACUUCAAUUCCAUGAUAGGAAAUAGAGUGAAGGGUCCUUUCGUGAUUUGACGUUGAAAACUAGAUUUUCACUGCGCCUAUGGGCGGUCUCUAGGUUCCCUGAAUUUUUCUCGGGAACUGAAACGCACUUAGGUACCUACACAUGUCCCAAAUAACAGAAAAAUCAGACGCAGGGCCUAUUCGACCAAUUUCAGAAUUCUGGCACAGCGGCCGUUUUUGGCUGAAUCAGCCAAACUUGCAUCGAUUCCUGUGAGAAAACACUUUUAGGGCCCUCGGUGGCCGAAAAAAUACAAAAAACUGAAACUUACCGGCGGUGGGGCUCUCCGGUGCGGCAACUCUUUCGAAUCACGUCACAGUUUGGUGUUUUGCUCCGAUCAACCUGUAGAGAGGAAACCGUGAUCACAAAUGUGAAAAAAUCACGUCGAACAGGAAUCGGAAAGGACCUCAUCGGAGGCAAAAUUCGAGACACCUCGCAGCGGCACCGUUGGGCUUUGGCAGCGUUUUCUGGCCAAUUGGCUGGUGCUUUCGCUCCAAUUUGAUAGUAGGUGGGUUUAGAAUCGAAUUCUGAGCAAAGGGUAGAAUUUUUACCUCGUUUGGUGGCCGGUAAUUACUCCAGUACGGCGGCGGGUGGCCGCGGUCUGCUCCCCGGCGGCUGCGCUGUCUUCUUCGGCGAGGGGCUUUGGCGGCUAGGGUUAGCGUUUGGGUGCGGAUGAGAUUAUUUAUAACUAUCCACUUUUGAUCUGAGCCAUCCAUCACAUUUAAUCUGGACCGUCCGAUCGCGAUUAAAUAGAAAAUAAAUCUGGAUCGUUCAUCGCGAUUCAAUUUGGGUCGUCCGUGCGCGNNNNNNNNNNNNNNNNNNNNNNNNNNNNNNNNNNNNNNNNNNNNNNNNNNNNNNNNNNNNNNNNNNNNNNNNNNNNNNNNNNNNNNNNNNNNNNNNNNNNNNNNNNNNNNNNNNNNNNNNNNNNNNNNNNNNNNNNNNNNNNNNNNNNNNNNNNNNNNNNNNNNNNNNNNNNNNNNNNNNNNNNNNNNNNNNNNNNNNNNNNNNNNNNNNNNNNNNNNNNNNNNNNNNNNNNNNNNNNNNNNNNNNNNNNNNNNNNNNNNNNNNNNNNNNNNNNNNNNNNNNNNNNNNNNNNNNNNNNNNNNNNNNNNNNNNNNNNNNNNNNNNNNNNNNNNNNNNNNNNNNNNNNNNNNNNNNNNNNNNNNNNNNNNNNNNNNNNNNNNNNNNNNNNNNNNNNNNNNNNNNNNNNNNNNNNNNNNNNNNNNNNNNNNNNNNNNNNNNNNNNNNNNNNNNNNNNNNNNNNNNNNNNNNNNNNNNNNNNNNNNNNNNNNNNNNNNNNNNNNNNNNNNNNNNNNNNNNNNNNNNNNNNNNNNNNNNNNNNNNNNNNNNNNNNNNNNNNNNNNNNNNNNNNNNNNNNNNNNNNNNNNNNNNNNNNNNNNNNNNNNNNNNNNNNNNNNNNNNNNNNNNNNNNNNNNNNNNNNNNNNNNNNNNNNNNNNNNNNNNNNNNNNNNNNNNNNNNNNNNNNNNNNNNNNNNNNNNNNNNNNNNNNNNNNNNNNNNNNNNNNNNNNNNNNNNNNNNNNNNNNNNNNNNNNNNNNNNNNNNNNNNNNNNNNNNNNNNNNNNNNNNNNNNNNNNNNNNNNNNNNNNNNNNNNNNNNNNNNNNNNNNNNNNNNNNNNNNNNNNNNNNNNNNNNNNNNNNNNNNNNNNNNNNNNNNNNNNNNNNNNNNNNNNNNNNNNNNNNNNNNNNNNNNNNNNNNNNNNNNNNNNNNNNNNNNNNNNNNNNNNNNNNNNNNNNNNNNNNNNNNNNNNNNNNNNNNNNNNNNNNNNNNNNNNNNNNNNNNNNNNNNNNNNNNNNNNNNNNNNNNNNNNNNNNNNNNNNNNNNNNNNNNNNNNNNNNNNNNNNNNNNNNNNNNNNNNNNNNNNNNNNNNNNNNNNNNNNNNNNNNNNNNNNNNNNNNNNNNNNNNNNNNNNNNNNNNNNNNNNNNNNNNNNNNNNNNNNNNNNNNNNNNNNNNNNNNNNNNNNNNNNNNNNNNNNNNNNNNNNNNNNNNNNNNNNNNNNNNNNNNNNNNNNNNNNNNNNNNNNNNNNNNNNNNNNNNNNNNNNNNNNNNNNNNNNNNNNNNNNNNNNNNNNNNNNNNNNNNNNNNNNNNNNNNNNNNNNNNNNNNNNNNNNNNNNNNNNNNNNNNNNNNNNNNNNNNNNNNNNNNNNNNNNNNNNNNNNNNNNNNNNNNNNNNNNNNNNNNNNNNNNNNNNNNNNNNNNNNNNNNNNNNNNNNNNNNNNNNNNNNNNNNNNNNNNNNNNNNNNNNNNNNNNNNNNNNNNNNNNNNNNNNNNNNNNNNNNNNNNNNNNNNNNNNNNNNNNNNNNNNNNNNNNNNNNNNNNNNNNNNNNNNNNNNNNNNNNNNNNNNNNNNNNNNNNNNNNNNNNNNNNNNNNNNNNNNNNNNNNNNNNNNNNNNNNNNNNNNNNNNNNNNNNNNNNNNNNNNNNNNNNNNNNNNNNNNNNNNNNNNNNNNNNNNNNNNNNNNNNNNNNNNNNNNNNNNNNNNNNNNNNNNNNNNNNNNNNNNNNNNNNNNNNNNNNNNNNNNNNNNNNNNNNNNNNNNNNNNNNNNNNNNNNNNNNNNNNNNCGUCCACACCUCGACCCCAACAGGCCAUACACACACACAAUCCGUUCUCGCACGUCACCAACAUCGACGACUCAUGCUCCCUCCAUUACCUCUCGACCUUAUUAGGCCACACGCACACCAAGACUUCUUGCACAUGCCGGCGAUGUUCCCUCGCAAACCUUUAAAUUUAUAGUAACUAUACCAAACCAUCUCCCCUCACCACACUCCUAUUAUACCCCUACCAAUGUGUCCAUACUCACUCGUCCUAAACCAUACUCUAUAGUCCCCUCCUAUGCCAUCCCAAUCUCCAGCAACUACGUUCUUAUCCCUCGCUAAACCGACCUCUCCCUAGGUUCCAUAAGCCUCUUCCCUCACCCAAAAUUUUUCAUACAUGCCAAUUUCUAUUCCAUAGUCCCCUCCCUCUCACAGUCCGAACUCACACCGUCCCACUCACCAUGCACGUCCCUCUCACCCUCGCACAGUCUGAACUCACACUGUCACACUCCCCACACUCACCCCUCUCACCGGACACUCACCGAAUUCGUUCCUCCUGCUCAUUCCGCUCGCGACUCUCUCCGCACCCCCGCUCCUGCACACGACUCCCUUCGUCAUCUCGGAUUUCCCCACACACGCCAAACUGCUCACUCCCUUUUCCUCUCAGUGAUCUUCCCUCGGUGCUCACACUCACCGCACAUAACCUUCUCUCUCUCUCAUAGAUCUCUCGUACGCCCCAACGACGCCAUCCUCUCCUUCUCACGGCCUCCUCCGCGAACGUCUCUGCCAUUCCGUCCUACACUCCACCUCUCAGCUCUGCCCAGCUACCUACAGACUCCCUGGCCUUGGCAACCUGCAAAUAGCAUCACAACUCACCCAAUACCUACACAACCAAAGUUUUUAUCGUACCUUCCAUUUCCACUUUCCUUCUUCUUGCCGAUCGCACUGUUCGUCGUCCGCGGCUCUCUUCUCUCUCCCUUCUCGCUCCUCUCUGCUUCGACUCCCCUCUCUCUCUUCUGGAACCUUCUUCCCUCUCUUCCUUCCUCAUUCCCGCUCUCUUCCUUCCCUGCUUUUCUCUUUGCUUUUUUUUCCUCUCUUCCCUUUCCUUCCCGACCCCCAUUCAUAUCCUACCAGCUUACCCAAAACGACAUCGUUUUCUCCUUCCCAAAACGACGUCGUUCACCCCCUCCUAAAAUGACGUUGUUUUUCCCUAUUCAAAACGACGUCGUUUCUUCAAACAAGAUUUUUUUUUUCUUUUUCCCUUUUUUAGUUAUUACAUAUAAGAUUUAGCCAACAAUUCACAUCACUUAAAUUCUUCACUUCAUUUUUUUAAUUUUAUUUAUUAUAGAUCAGGAUGAUGCCAUAAUUUAGAUUUUUUUUAAAUAAAAAAUUAUUUUAAAUUUUUAGUACACUUUGACUCAAUCAAUUAAUACAAUAUAAUAGCUACAUAAUAUAUAUAUAUUUUUUUAAUCUAUAAAUAUAAUAAAUCUUUUAGAAGAUUAGUAAAUUCAAUCUUUAAUUCUAUUUAAUUAAGCAUUAUUGCAAAAUUAACUAAUAAUAUAUUCACAACAUAGCGAGCUUUAUGUCUUUAAUGACAUUCGAAUUUGUAACAUUAGUGAAUUCAAUCUUUGGUAUUUUUUAUACCUCUUUUUUAUAUAUAAAUUUUUUUUAAUCACGUCAAAAUUCAGUAAUUAGCUAUGUUAAGGUUCAAAAAUUUUCAAGUACGAUGACUCCGAUCUUAUUCCAAAAAUCAAAUUUUAAAUCUAUGUUAAUUUACUAUGUAUAUGUAUAAAGAUAUCUGUUUAUUUAUUUUUGUUUCAGCUCUUAGUUAUUUUUUGUAGCUUUCUUUAAAAAAAAAAAGAUUAAACUUUGUACUUAAUUAUCAAUAGAUAUUUUAGUUACUAAACUUCAAUUUCAUUGUUUUGAUUUAUAUAAUUUUUACAUUAGUAAAAAAAUUGUAAUUUCCAAAUUGAAUCACGUAAUGCAAAACAAUUUGAUUGGGUCUUAUUUGGCAAAUCACCACCAAAUGGUUAUGAUCAACAGUAAGGACAUUAAAGUGGAUUUAUUUUGUUGCUUUCAAUUGUGCCAUCCACAUUUGACCAAAAAAUGUACAAGUUUAUUAAUUUUCAUAUUUAUGAGAGUAAAAUAUUAUUAAUUGACUCUAUAUAUAUAUAUAUAUAUAUUUGUAAAAUUUAUUUCUCAAAUUAACAUAAAAAUUUGUUUGCAGAUAAAGCCAAAUAAACAACUAACAUUAUCCAACAUUCAUUGCAGGCCCUAAAUAAUUCAUCACAUACCUUACCACUAUAACUCCAAUCAAAUAACAAAAAGACAACAUUUUAUAAUUAUCAAAUUUUAUUUAUAUUCCUUCAUCUAUUAAUUAUAUUUUAUUAUAUUAUAUUAUAUUAUUUACUUUUGAUUCUUCUACAUAACAUUUUCUAAAUUUAUUACAAAAUCAAAAGAUGGGUAAUUUGGGAUUUCCAUGGCACGCAUAUAUAUAUAUAUAUAUAUAUAUAUAUACACACACAUAUUAACAUGCAUGAAUAUUGUCACUCUCUAUUUUGGAGUGUUUGUAUAAUGCUAAAUUAAUAGAUUAAGAGGUACGACAUUAGACAAAGCUCUUAAAUUUUGUCUUAAUAUAUGAGAAUUUGAAACUAAAAUACAUAUAUUUUUCUUUCACUAUAUAUUCUAAAUAUAAUUCAACAUAAAUAUGAAAAUUUAAAAUAUUCUUUAUUUAUUUAUUUAUUUAUUUUUAAAUAGAAGUGAGUUCCAGUGUGUAAAGGGUUUUGGUUGGUCAAAACUGGUGACUUCAAAUUUGGAAAAACACCACCGUUUCAUGACUCACUCCACGUCGUCAUCACCGUUGUUUAAGUAGGUCCCAGUCAAAAGCAUGUGGGACCCACUUCGUUUCAAAAUUUAAUAUUAUCCCGUGUAUUAUUAUUCUUUUUAACUUUACAAAAUUAAGUACCACGACCCUUUGAGUAAUAAAUUUCAUUAAUUUAUUAAAUUAAAAAUUCUUCUCUCAAACUAUUCAAACAAAAAUUAAUUAAUUUAAUUUUUUAUAUUAAAGAAUAAAAAAAUUAAAUAUUCAAAAUAAAUAAAAAAUAUUAUAAAUGAAAAUUUAUCCAAAAUAUAUUAGCACAUAAAGUAAUAAAGUAUAAAUUGAUACAUGCUUUAUCAAUAAAAUUUCAUCCUAUUCAAAGUAAAAUUUUUAACGUAAUAUCUUAAAACAAGUUAAGAAUUAAUUAUUACUAAUAAUUUAAGUUAAAUGUCAUAUCAAUUAUCCACUCGUACUAAAAAAAACAAAAUUAAUUAGGUUAGUAGUUUAAUUGCAUUAUUUUUUAUAUUUUAAAAAAUAAUUUUUUACUAAAAUUAGAUAAUUUAAAUGUAAUUUUCAUAAAAUUCUUCUUCUAUAAGAAAUUGUUAGUUUAAUUUGAAUUGUAUUCUUAUUUCUUAUUUAAAUAUUAUUUAUAUAAUAUUAUGAUUUGUGUUUAUACAUCAUUUAAUUUAAUUUAAUUAUCGAAUAUAUGCAUAUAUAUUUUUUUUUUUUAAAAAUUAGAAUUAAAUGAUGAAUUGUACCUAAAAUAUAUUUAACGUGGAAGAAAGGGUUUACAAAUAUAUUGAAAUCCGGCAAAUCAUUAAAGUAUUGCAUAUAAUCUUAUCUCGAUCUUUUUUUUUGCACUUAAAAAAUUAUUCAAAUAUAUUAUGAUUUAUUGUAUUAAUAAUAAUCUUGUAAAAAUAAUAUACGCUUUAAGUAUAUGAUUAUUAACCAUUUAAUAAUUUAAUGGCAAGAAGCAACAUAUUAUUAUCUAUUAAUAAAUAUAUAUUCGUAAUUGUAGCAAAAAUCACGGCAGCCCUGAGGAUAAUGUGCAGCCCACUUGCGUUUUGGUCAAACAUCUCAUCCGUUGACCAAACUAAAUGCGAUUUUGAUUUUUAAUUUUAUACGGUAACGGGCGUAUUAAGUCAAUCUUCACAUAAUUAGACUUUAAUUACAUAAUUAGUUGUUUCAUAUGGGAAUAUAAAUUUGAACCAUAAAUAAAAAAUAAAAAUAAAAUAAAUUUCUUUCCAAAUUUGGAUAUAGUUGAUAAACUCAUUUUUAUAUAAAAUGGGGAAAAUAUACAAAAAUAAUAAUAAUAAUAAUUUUGUACACCUAUGAUUUAAAGCAUGACAAACCAAAGUCGGAAAAAGAAAAAAUAAUUAAAAAAAAAAAAAAGAUGUUUGAAUUUUCGGCAUGAAAUUCUCUCAUCUUCUUUGUCAUUUUCUUGGAUAUUUAUAUCAUAUAAUAUAAUAUAAAAAUAUUUUUAAAAAAUUAUAGAAAUUUUCUAUAGACAAUAGGCUUUAAACAUGCUUAAUAACUAAAUAUAUUAAAUUAAUCCAAUAAUUAAUGGCUCAAAUUGGUCAUGCGUAUCCCACGAAUGAGCAAAUCUGAUGGGGCAAGUAGUUAUAAAAAAUUAAAAAUUAAUUUUUGUAUAACUAAUUUACUAUUUAAUUAGAAUUUAAAAAUACCAACUUCUCUCUCUCUCUCUCUCUCUCUACAUAUAUAUAUAUAUAUGUAUAGAUACAGAUGCUCUCCUGUUUAUCUCCAAAAUUCCAUGCACCCGCACUUAUCCGGAAACUAAACUCUUCCUCCUUGCUCUGUUCUCUGGUUUCCUCUUUUACCUUUUCCGAUUCAACUCAGUUAAAUCUCCAUUGAAAUCUCUGCUUUCAGUUCCCAAAUUAUUUUCUCUACAAUCUCUCUACCAAUUGCUCGCUCAUAUCUCUUCUUCUUCUCUCAUAUCAUAUCGGAUUCGCGGCAACAUAGUCUCUGUUUCUUCCUUCUCUCCAAUGGUGAGUCUCUGUUUUUCUUUUUCAUCGUCUGGAAUUUCUUUUUCUUUUUUCUAAGAACUGGGUUUUUCGGUUUCUUACUAUUUUCAGAGUGGGCUUUCUUUUUUCUUUCAUCUGGUUUCGGAGUUCUGUUUCUAAUAAUUUUUUUUUUAAAAAUUAUUGAUGAAUUUACAGGCUCUUGAGAUGGGAAAUAUUAGAUACGACGAGGUAAUAAACAAUUAGCGUUAUGUAUAUCUUUUGAAUUUUUUACGAACAUUUGUUUUUGUUUUUUUUUUUAAAGAAAAGAAAAUUUAAAUCUAUGCAGGAGUAUAUAAUGAACUCGAGAGGGAUAAAGCUGUUUACAUGUAAAUGGAUACCUACGGAUCAAGAACCGAAGGCCUUGAUAUUCCUACUCCAUGGAUAUGCAAUGGAAUGCAGCAUCACCAUGAACAGUAAAUCUAAUUUUUGUUUUUUGUUUUAAUUACAAAAAUUAACAGUUAAUAAUAAUAGUUAAACGGUUUCAGGCACAGCAAUUAGGCUAGCAAAAGCUGGUUUUGCAGUUUAUGGGAUUGAUUACGAGGGGCAUGGAAAAUCAGAGGGGCUUGAUGCUUACGUUAAGAAAUUUGAUGAUAUUGUUGAUGGUUGCUCUAAUCACUUUACAACUAUUUGUGGUGAGUUUUCAAUUUCUUCUUUAAUUAGAAAUUACCCAUCUCUCUCUCUCUCUCUCUCUCUCUCUAUAUAUAUAUAUAUAUAUAUAUAUUUAUAUAUAACUUUUUAAUUAUUUUUUGAAAAUUUUAAACAAAAGAAUUACAAGAUAAAAGCUUAAAAAAUGAUUAAUUAUGCAGAGAAGCAAGAGAACAAACAGAAGAUGAGGUUUGUGAUGGGGGAAUCCAUGGGAGGGGCAGUGGCUCUGUUGUUGGCCAGGAAGAAGCCAGACUACUGGGACGGUGCCGUUUUAGUGGCACCCAUGUGUAAGGUUAGUGUUUUUAAUAAAGGAAUCUCCAUUAUUGUAUAACAUUUUUCGUUUACUCCCCCAAUUAACGAUCAUCCACAUGUUUCAGGUCAAUGUUGAUCCAUUUUUCUUUUUUUUUUUUUUUCUAAAAAUAAAACCCAUAUAAUAAUUAAAAAAAAAAAAAAACUUUCAAUAACAUAUGUAUAUCCUGAAAUUUAAUUUAAUUUUUUUUUGAAUUAUUAAUACUUUUCUUUUUUUAAUUCAGCUUCAAACGAGUUAUGUAUAAUAUAAAAAAUCCAUGCAAUAUAUAUAUAUAUAUAUGUAUUUGACAAUUCACGUACUUGCAGAUUGCAGAUGAGAUUAGACCAAGUCCUCUUGUGAUAAAUGUUUUGACCCAGCUUUGCCGGUUUAUACCAACAUGGAAAAUUAUUCCUGGACAAGAUAUUAUUGAUGUUGCUUUUAAAGAGCCAGAUGUCAGAAAACAGGUACUUACUACUUAUACACCACCCGAAUUCUCUAUAUAUUUUUAACGUCUUCUUAUUAGUAUAUAUACAUAUAUAUAUAUAUAUUCAUAUAGUUAUCGAAAUAUAUAAAUCGUAGAUAAGAGAGAACCCGUACUGCUACAAGGGACGUCCUCGCUUGAAAACUGGUUUUGAACUUUUGAGAGUCAGUCUGGAUCUCGAGCAAAGACUUAACGAGGUUUGUCUUCUCUUUUUACAUUCUUCUUCCCUUCCAGAAAAAAAAGCUAAAUGCAAAGAGUUUACUGACAACAUUGAAUUUUACAAAAUUGGAAAGUUUACUCUUGUUCUGCGCUUAAUCUUGAUUUCGAACUUGUUUAGGUUAUAAUACCAUUUAUAGUUCUCCACGGAGGAGAUGACCGGGUGACGGAUAAAGCUGUGAGCAAACAACUUUAUGAAUCGGCUUCGAGUACCGACAAGACCUUCAAGCUGUAUCCGGGAAUGUGGCACGGACUGUUAUAUGGAGAGCCAGUCGAGAACUGUGACAUGGUGUUUAAGGACAUCAUAGAUUGGACACAAGAAAGAGUUUCUUUAGGGGAUUCGAGGCUGGAGAGGGAGCACAAGUACAGGAAUGAAAAUCUCUCCAUGUCCAAACAGAAGUAGUUCGGGCCUUCAAUCAAUUUACUCUUGACCUUGUUUGGACAAAUUAAUUUGUGGAUUAAUAAUUUGUAAAAAAAAAAAUUUGGUAAAUUAAUUCUUGAGAUUUGUAUAAAUUAGCACAGAGAUAUUCUUAUUAUACAGUUUAAAGAUUUUAGUUCAUCCAAAAGGGUGUUGAAAUAUUAUUUUAUUGUAAUUUUAUCUUACGAAAUGCAACUCAUUAAAAAUCAUACUUACGGUGUUUGUGUUAGUAAUUAUAAAUAGAUAUAAUUCUAUAUAUAAAUAAUAAUAUUGCAUAUUUAUUAAUUUUAAUAUGCUUAAGAGAUGGUAAUAACACGAGACGUUAGGAUAUAUAUGUAUAUUAUAUGACAAGCCAUACCAUUUUUUUCUAGGCCCUUCACAGAAUCGCUUCUAAAUAACAUUUGGACACAUACAUACAUAUACGUACAGUUGUAAUUAAAAGUUAAUUCCGACACUGUAUAUAUAUAUAUAUAUAUAUAUAUUUAUAUUACAUUUCUACAAUUUUUUUCUCCUCAAAAAACAUAUCUCCAUCAUUUUUCAUGGUAAUGUUCUUUCAAUCUCCUCUCUUCUUCUUCUUCUUCUUCUCUCUCUCCAUGCAUGGCUUUUUUACUCUUUGUUUCUGGUUUUUGGCUUUCAAUUUUUACAGGCUUUUGAAACAGACAAUAUUAAAUAUGAUGAGGUAAGGCUUUAUUUGUUUAAUACUUCAUUGAUCAUUUCUAGUUUUGUUUCAAAUUUUUAGCAUUGAAUUCGUUCUGAAACACAGGAUUAUUUCACGAAUUCUAGAGGACUGAAACUCUUCACAUGUAAAUGGAUUCCAACGAAUCAAGAACCAAAAGCCUUGAUUUUCUUUUGCCACGGCUAUGCCAUGGAAUGCAGCAUCACCAUGAAGAGUACGUCUCUCUAUACAUAUAUAAUUCAACCCAUACGUAUGUCAUAGUUAAUUAAUUUAGUUUUGUAAUCUAGUGAGUUUUAAUUUAAACAUGCAGGUUGUGCGACUAGGCUGGUAGAUUCAGGAUUUGCAGUUCACGGAGUAGAUUAUGAAGGGCAUGGAAGAUCAGAAGGUCGUGCUGCAUUUAUCAAUAACUUGGAUGAUGUUGUUAAUGACUGCUCUCAACAUUUCAGACAGGUAUGCGGUAAGUGCUUAAGUUUCAUUUUUCUUCCAAUCAUAAUUACUUGUUCUUAAUUAAUUAAUUAAUUAAUUAAUUGUUUUCGUUAUUAAAUAUUUAGAAAAGGGAGAGAACGGAGGAAAAAUGAGAUUCUUGCUAGGAGAGUCAAUGGGUGGAGCUGUUUCUCUUCUUCUACACAGAAAGAUGCCUGGAUAUUGGGAUGGUGCAGUCUUGGCCGCACCCAUGUGCAAGGUUAAUUUUCAUUUAAUUAAUUGUUUAUUACUAUUUUUAUAAUUAAUUGUUUAUCACAAGUAUAUGAUUUAUCUUUGGGGAUUAAUCAUGUUUCUAAAAUUCUAAAAAGAGGCUCAGGCUCCAUCUUUUUAGGAUCUUUGGAUUUUCUUAAUCACCACCCAUUAUUUUACCGAAAUGAAAGUUUUAGCUUGUUUGGCCUAAUAUUACAGUACAAAAAAUGCAUUAUAAAAUUUAUUAUUUUUAUGCUAAUUGUAAGUAAUAUAUAUAUAUAUAUAUUAUGAUAUAUAUUAACUCUCAUUACUCAUCUAUAAAUGGGUAGCGAGUGCUCCAUAGCAUUAGCAACCCAUAAGUACCACAUACAUAUUUAUAUAUAUAUAUAUAUAAUAUUUAGAAAAAAUUAAGAUAUGAUAAUUUUGGUAAGUACAAUUUAUUAAAUAUUAAUAAAAAAAUGAAGAUAAAAAAAGACUAAUAUAUUAAUCAGUAGACAAUUACGAGAUAGACUGCGAUGGACUUUUGAGAAGAGAAGAAUGUCACCGUACAGAUUGCAGAUGACAUAAAACCACCUCCGGUAAUGAUGUCUUUUCUGCAAGCACUUUGCAAAGUCAUCCCAACAUGGAAAUCCAUCAUUAGCCAAGAUCUCACUGAUAUUGCUUUUAAAGACCCCAAAGUACGCGCCGAGGUAUACAUACACACACACACACAUACGGGUAAACAUAUGAUUCUUUUGUUGACAGAUUAAAGCAAACAAGUAUUGCUACAAAGGCCGCCCUCGCUUGAAAACCGGCCAUGAACUUCCUCAGAAUCAGUGGAGAUAUUGAGGGCCGACUUCAAGAGGUCUGCCAUAUUUUUUUUACUUCCAAUUUUUGGAAAGUAAUAAUAAGCACUAUUUUGAUAUUUCAUUAUCAGAAAUGAGAAAAUUUUCUAAUUUCUAUUUUAGGUCGUAAUCCCCUUCUUACUUCUCCAUGGAGGAGAUGACAAGGUGAUUGACAAAUCUGCCAGCAGGCAACUCUAUGAGGUAUCGAAGAGUCCAGAUAAGUCCUUCAAGCUGUACCCCGGAAUGUGGCAUGGUUUGCUAUUUGGCGAACCGACAAACAAUAUUGACAUCGUGUUUGCAGACAUUAUCGACUGGUUAGAGGAGAGGGUGAUGAAGAGAAAUCAGAGUGGGGAAGGUGAACUCAAGCUUAGCAAUGAAAAUGUGCCUAAACAGAAACUUGAUAGUAUGCUUUGAAUUCAAAGCAUUAGAUAACUCUAAACCAUUGAUUAGGGUUAAGAAAAAAUGUCACUUUAAGUUCCAGUUCACAACUUUAAUACUAAGUACUAAAAUUGUCCAUUGGAUCAGUAUUUCUAAGAACGAUUAUUAUUCAAAUAUUAAUACCUAACGGUUAAAACUUUAGAACUUACUAUUAAUGCUGUGAACUGGAACUUACAGUACCAUCCUUCCACAUUGCUGGCCUGGUUCAAGGGUAGCAUCAGCUCCUGCAGAAACCUGGCUGAAAAACUAUUUGAACCUUCAAUUAUUAGUUCAUUUGUUUUAAGGCUCCGUGAGAGUAAUGGGCAUUCCCGGUUUAGCCGAACAUAGAUAGGAGAAACAGAAAUCUGCAGUGAUAUGGAUUAAUAUCGAAUCAUUGUAACUAGUAUGGUCAAUGCCUGUAGUUCAAUUCAUAAUAAGAUUAGAUAAUACAGAAAAUACAGUUACUAAUUCAUACUGUCUAAAUUACCCUGAUGGGAUCUGACUGAAAGUGAGUGGCAUGGUUCUUUUCUUCUUUGGUACACUUAGUAAAAGGAAUGACAACAUGAAUCCCAUAGAAGAUAUAUAUUUAGUCAAGGCUAAUCUAGUAAUUACAACAGAAAGGACAUUUUAUAGUUAAGAACUACCUCACAUUAGACUGCCAGCAUUUAGCUCGGCACACUCCAUUGGAUCCUGACCAAGGAUGUAGGGAAAGAAAGGAAGCUUCCGCCAGCAUAAAUUUUCUGUGGUCAGAGGUCCAUCUGGUAAUUUACCCAUGCUUUUUCAGGCCUCUGCAUUAUCUGCUUAAACAGCUUCACUCUAACUGCAAUUAGCACUAACCAAUGCCGAUAACCUCAGCACAACAUCCUGCAUAAUAUUCGAUUAUCUGGUAAAUAACAUUUGCAUCUAACAACAUCAAAAACUGAAUCAAGCAUUAAUAAAUCAAUAUUAAAAAGAGAAACAUGUUGACUAUCACAGUAACUGAUAUCAUCAAGCUGAACUAAACUUCAUUACAAGAUUGUGGAAGGAAAGUUACAGAUAUUAGUAAAAAUCAGAGUAGAGAAUUGUGAACUAUUGAACAUAUCCUACAAAUUAGAACCUUUCCAGAGCACAACUUUGAGCAUAUUGUUGAGUUAGAGGUUCCAACCAGCAGAAUCUGAAAUUUUGGAUGGCAUAAAACACAGUCUAAUGGAGACGCGUAGGGUCAAUAGGUAGACCAUAGUCUAGGGAUGCAAAUAGGCAGAUUAAUUUCUCCAAAAUAUAAACAUAAAAGUGCAAUAACAGAGAGAGAGAAAGAAGGCACUAUGAGACAUGCUUUCUCAAAUUAUCUUAUUUCGAACUUCUUCAAGUUUCUUCAAUAUCUCUCCGGGUGUUCUAUCCAACUCGUCAGCAAUUUUUCUUUGCAAGUCCAGAGGAAGUGUUGGGAACUGCUCACAUAGAUCGCCAUCUAUCACAUCCUGCAUAAAUAUUGCAGAGUUCAGAAAAGCUAUCAAAGUUGUCCAUAAUGAUUAAUGAGUAUAAGAACCGAAAAAUUCAUGAAAGAAUGAAAGCUAGAGUCAGGAGAAAUCAAAUGAAAGCUCACAACAUUAGUUUCUUAUUCGCAUCCACAGUUACUACAACUGGCCCCAUCUGCCAUAGGUGUUUAAUUUUUUUAACAAGUGCUGGACCCACCAAGCAAAAACAAAAAGAACCCACUCCGAUGGGAUUGGAUUUGUGGGCCUCCAGUAGGCCGAAUAAAUUUGCUAUCCUAGGUUGCCUCAAAGUAAAGAAUCAUUUCAGCAGUCAAGGAUACAUUUAUUAAUGAACUGGAGACAUAUGAAAUACCUUGACAGGAAAGUACGCAGAUCUAUAAGCCAUGUGAUCUCUUCCACAUAAAGGUGGGUGUUCCUGCCUCAUAUGCAUCUCCAAAUGCGAAAAGAAGUCAACAUCAUCACGUGAGGUGAAUGCAUGCAAUGCCCCCAAGCUCCCCAUGACAGUUCCAUAAAUGAUGCAUUCUGACCCACCUGGGAUCAAAGAUGCCUUCUGCAAACAAGUAACCACAUCACCAACAUGAAACUGCACUAUCUCUUCUACCUUGUUAGGUGCUCCAUUGAGCUUCCCUUGCUCCCACUUAAUCUUCCCACCAGUUGGAUCUUCCUCAAUCUCAUCUGACACAUCCUGUGGCAACCGAACAAAAUAGAAAUUCCCAAAUUUGUCCGCACCCGCCAUCGUAUCAAAAUCUAUGUGAUAUGAUGCAGUAAGCCAUCUUGGGACACAAUCAUCUGCAAAUAUGUACAGUUGAUUUUCGUCUCGUCUAUACUUGCAGAAAUGGAAUGACUGCCAAGAAGAGAAUAAUACAAGUUAAUACAAAAAACAACUCCGCACCUUAGGGAACCAUAUAUCUAUCUCUAUUGCUAGCAUAUAAACAAUAAAUAACACAUUCUAUUUGAAACUUCUUCCAAACAAAACAUUUUCCCAGCUAAUGUCAUACAGAGGAGUGGUUGCACAAUUAACUUCUUAUUAUUUGAAUGGUUCAUUAUUUGGACUUUUAUUUUACCCAUUUGGAAUACUGUAUGAGUUCAUUUGUUAAUGUAAUUAUCCAUUAUCACGAACUUUUUGACGAUAUUAUAGCAUCUUCCUCACAGUUGUGAAGAUAAUCCGAAUAGUGAAUCAUCUUAGAGCCAUUAGUUAAAAUACAUACCUCCUGAAUAUCACCAACAUAAAUUCGGUCACGAUAAGUAUGAAUCGAGACAAUUUUGUUAGGGAACAGCUUAUUUUCACAUUUUCUGAGCAACCUCCUUUUCCCCAAGUCGUAUAACCUAAGUACAGGACCUAUUCCAGCUAGCAAUCUUCCCUGAAAUUGGGAUAAAGCAAGAGGUACACCUUCCACUUGUGUCUUGUGCAGAAGUUCAAGAGAUUUCCCAUCUUCCAGAAACCUAUAAAUAUGAAUAAACCCCGCUACUAAACUUCUUUUGGGCCAAAACUGCAGUCCCUUGGCUGUACCAACUGCUAAAAGAGUUCCAUACUCCUUAUCAUGGAAAUUAACAGUACAAACACUGAAUGCAGCUUCAUUGUCCUGAAGUUCUAGGAGACAAGUUGUAGUAGCUUUCCUUGGAUCAAGGACUCGGAUACAAGAAACCCACUUGUCUGAUUCUGCCUUUGGAUAACCAUACUGCUCAUCCGAGAGGGGAUCAUCUUUGUCUUCAUCAUCACCAUUCUCCAUUUGUUCAGCAUUAGCAUUGCCAUUUUCUCCCAUUCCAGCAGCUUCAAAGAAUUCCUUUCUUGCAGCUUCACGUUCUUCUGCAUUGAAUGCUCCUUGGUCACUCUCAAUAAUCACUAACAACUUCCACUUGGGGUGGAGAACAAACUUUCUUGGCGUGUACCUUAAAGGAAUCACAGUUUCGUUAAAUGUUUCCCCAAGACGCUCAAUUGUGAAAAUCCUCAAUGCAUCCCCAGCCACAGCAACAACACCUUCAGCACAUUGAUCGGAUGAAAAUGAAGCAGCAAAUUCAAGAGUCUCAUAAGAAAGAGGUGUUAACUGGAAAUGUCCCUGGUGAAUAUAACCAAGCCAGGGUCGACUGGACAAGCAAAGCAUUGCACGUCGUCCUCUCACAAUGACCGAGAAUAACUUCGGAGGCCUCAGCCCUAAAAACCGGGAACGGGAAUCAGAAAGUUGACCAGUCACCAUAUCCACAACUGUCCUAAAUAGAACCCCAGUCUGUAAACCAGCAUUAAGGAAAAGACUAGCAGGGUGAUCAGCACCAUCUUCUCCACCUACUGAAGCCUGGACUUCAAGAAAGAGGAGGGAUUCUGGAGGCGAAGAUACACUUUGAACACUGAGAAUCUGCAUACAGUCAUCAGGAUCCAAAGAUAAGAUACGAAUGGUGUUGUCAUAAGAACCAACUGCAAGGAAGCGUGACCUCUGUCUUCCUUCAGGGACUGGAGCAAUGUCCAAGCAAGCCACAUCUCCAGACAUUUCAUGUUUCUCCACCUCCAUCAGCUGACCAGUCAUAUCCACCUCAAAAUAUAUAAGUUCCCCUCCUGUAAGGGCAAUAACUACUUGGAGUCUGUUUGAACCAACCUUAACAAUCGACCUCUUUCCAGGGGUUCUCCACUCAUUAAUACGCCCAUCUUCCCUAAUAUGCCGAAUACCAUUAGGGUGGACUUGCAUUAGAGAAUCAUCACCUAUUAAAGAAACAGCAAGGGAGGGAGUAGUAUCAAGAAACCCACUAUCGCUGACUUCUUCAACCGUUUCACCAAUUGAAAGCACAAGGGUGGCAUUGGUAAAAGAGACCACAAUAUAUGCAUCAAACUCAUCAUUGACAUUCUUUUUCACAGUCCAAACUGCACUUGGGAGACCAGGAAGCUGUGACACAGCCAUCUCACUGAUGGCCAACCCAGGCCUUAAUAUCCUUAAAGAGGAACGAGGACCUCGUCCACAAAGUGAAAAUAUCUGAGGUGUUUCUUCCUCAAAGAGAUUUAUUACUUUCAUGUCCAUUAUUGGCAUCAGGCUCUCAACCUGGUCAAUCCUAACAAGGUUUUUGAGUCCUCUAGGCUGGAAAAACACAGGCUGGAAACCUUCAUCAGUUUCCAUCAAAGUGGCUGAAGAUGACUCCACGUCAGGCUCCUCCCCUAUUGCCUGAAACUGAUACAAAGCAUGAUUUCCAAACUCCGAUGCAGCAAACAAAAAUCCAGACUUCAACACACACAUGGAAGCUGUAACCGGAAUAGUAUCAAAAUAUUUAAUCUUCAACUCCGAAACGCUAUCCCCGUCAUGUUCCAAAGUAACCUUAAAAAUGUCUCCAUAUUCAGUUUGCAAAAGAAAGAAGAACAUGGACUUCUGCUUAUGCAUUGCAGCUGACACUAUUAGAACCCCCCGUUCAGCAGGCAAAUCUGCCCGCCUAGGAAUCACUGCUCGGAAAUCUGGACCUUUAGAAUUUUUAUAAAUUACAAAAUUCUCAGCACACACCAGUACUCCACUUGGCCCAUCCCCUCCUCCCGGAACAGUAACAAGCAAGUUGGCACCAUUAUCAACCUGUUCAGACCAUUUCCUAGACACAUGGUUAAGCCCUAAAUCUAGCUCGUAAAAAGUCAAUUGCUUCUGGGCUUCACUAGCUGCUUGUCCGGUGGAAUCCUGAUCUGCCUCCGAGUAAUCAAGCUCAAUGGCAGCAAAAAUCGGGUUCUCAAAACCGCAAUCCACCCCGCAAAUGGAAUAACAUAUCGUGUGCGAUUUGUGCGCCUCUAGCGGAGACGAAAUCGUUAAUCUUGCAGCAGUAUCCCUAUUCAAAACAUACACAAGUUUCUGUUUCUCACAGGCACCUAUCAUAACAGCUCUCCCUUUCGGGUCAAUAGCCAGGUACUGACCCGGAACAAUCCGGCGACAGCCAGACUUCCCAAAAGUUUCUUGGUGUACCUUGUCGAAUACGUUUUUCUCCUUGUUGUACUCUAGUAUUACGAUUCGACCGGAAUCGGAACCGACAACGAUGUAAUCUUUUUGGGACCCGGUUAAGCGAAACUGAGCUAGGGAUCUAAUGGCACCAAACACUUCGACAGAGAGUAAAGUUUGGAUCUUACCGUUCUCGUCAGGUCGGAGGAGAUCUAGGACCUUACCACGAGCAACGACAAUCUCCUGCGUCUUGCCGCCGGAGAAGUUCCCAUUUAUGGCACAGAGAAUGCCGGUAGCCUGCUGCAGGGUGAGAUUGUAUAGAUACAUGGGUGACAAUAUGGCGAGCUUGACCUGCAGAUAGAGCUGAAACAAGCGCUACAAUUAGAUAAAGAGGAGAGAAGUAGUGGAUUUGGGGUUUAGGGGACGGAUUCAGGGUUUUAGUUAAAUUCCAUGGUGAUGGGGUUUUCUUGAGUUCCUGAUUUCGGGUAUUGGAAACGAAAUGACGGGAAGAGGUAUAACCUGCUAUAAACCCUAGGCCUAGAGAUUUAUUGGCCCAAUUCAGCCAUUGCUGGAAUCGACGGCACAGAUCACUUUUUCAAAAUUAAUCUUAUUUUAUAAGUAUAUAACUUCACCAUUCAUAAUUCAAUUAAAUUUUUUUCAAGUAAUUCUCUUCAAGAAAAAAUAUACACCCAAAAAUUUGAAAUGCAAUUUAAAUUAAUUCAUAAUUUAAUUUAAUUGUUUUAUUUAAUAAUAUUAUUCAUGAUAGCAAAAAAUUUAUUGGUAGUAAACUAUUAACAAGUAAAUCAAAAAUAUUUAAAAUGCAACUAGACCAAUUUUUUAUUUUUUAUUUUUAAAAAUUGAAAUUAUACAUAUAUAUUUUUAAAAUUUGCAUCCAUGACAAAUACUUUUUCUUAACCAAAAAUCUCUAAAUUUUAAUAACAAUCUUACAAUUAUGCACUAAUGACAUGGCCCAUGAGGACUAGUGUGUAUAAUCAGCCCAAAUCCACAAUUUAGGGGUAAAACAAUUCAAGGCAGAAAAACCGAAGCUAAUUGGGUGCAACCACUAAACACCAUAUUCAACCACUCCAAUUUAGAUCCACUACACUGCCAUAAUCACAUUCUUCUAUCAUAUUUAUUAUUUAUAAACCAACAAUAACACUGAAGCCAAACCAAGUUGACGAUAUGAUCAUGGCAAAACUCCCUCCAAUCGUCGUACUUUUCCUAUUUGUCAUUGUUGAUCAAUCAUUCUCGUUACGAAUUCUUAACAAUCAUCACUAUCGCCAUCGCAAAAUCACUUUCAUCAUGCAAAAUGUGUUCAAUGUGUCAGAACCCUCAUCCAAAUCUGUAACUACUAAAGUCGCAGGCCAUCACCUGCCAUUUCUAAAACCAUUAGGUUUCUUCCCUCCAAAAGGAGGAAUUCCUAUACCAGAAUCACUCCCCACGAGUUCAACCAUUGGAGAAUCAUCCCAAGCAGUUGAUAUCUCGGACAUUGGCCUCAACUUUCCAGCUAGAGCUACUCUUGAGGAGUUGGAAUUGGGAACAUUUACAAGUAUUGAUGAGGACUUGUUCAAAAUCUCAACAAAUGGGGGGAAAAAACUGUUCGGCAAAGCACACGGGGUGUAUGUUGCUAGUCCAGGGAAUGGAACUGGCUAUAUGAUGGCAGUUACAGCAUUUUUGGGCCCAGGAGAGUUCCCGGAUGGAUUGAGACUUUUCGGGGUGUAUAGGGCUCAAGAAGCUGAGUCUCAUGUGGCUGUUAUUGGCGGCACCGGAAAGUAUAAUUGUGCCAAUGGCUACGCAAGUGUUAAAGCUUUUGAACUCCAGGGAGCCAACAAGCUCCUGUUAUUCACAGUUUAUCUGAGUUUGUAAAUAUAUCUGUUAAAAGAUCCUCAGAUAGAAACUGUAAUAGCACAUAAUCUAAUUUUGUUCUGCUUCACAACUUAUCAGUUAAAAGAUCAUCGUAUGGGGGCAAUUUAAAUCUGUUUAAUUGUUUUUCACUAAUCAAACAUAAUUUCUGAAAAAAAAAAAAUCAUUCAAAAGAUUGAACUAGAAAAUUGCAAUGAUGAAAGCUAGUCCAAAUUGUGCUAGUAAUACAAAAAGUGAUGUAAAAAGUCAUAUUAUGUGAUAAACUAAUUCCACCUUGAAUCCGAAGAAUCCUACUGCAUCCAUCCAACAGUUACAACUCAGAACAUUGAAAGAAAAAUAACUCAAAAUUUAUCACUAGAUCAUGCAGCCUGUUGAGCAGCAAGCCUCUUCCUAGACUCCUCAAUGAUUGAUAACUUGAUGCCCUUGCCCUUGGGAAGGGACACCCAUGGUUUUGAGCCUUUACCAAUAGUGAACACAUUGCCCAUACGGGUUGCAAACUCAUGACCAACUGCAUCUUGAACAUGGAUGGUCUCAAAGCUACCCUUAUGUUUCUCUCUGUUCUUGAUGACUCCGACACGCCCUCUGUUCCUUCCCCCAGUCACCAUCACAACAUUCCCAACAUCAAACUUAAUGAAGUCAACAAUCUUGUUAGUCUCCAGGUCAAGUUUAAUGGUAUCAUUGGCCUUGAUAAGAGGGUCUGGGUAGCGAAUGGUGCGGCCAUCAUAUGUGUUCAGGUAUGGGAUACCCUUCUGGCCAAAUUGGACAGAUCGAACCUUGCAAAGCUUAAACUGCAAAGAAUGUAAACUUCCACAAAAUUAAAACAUGCACUUAAAACUCUUUAAGAAGUAAUGUUAUAGCAUAACAAUAAUCCAAUAAAUCAGGCAGCAACAAACAAACCUUGGCUUCCUCGUCCCUGACAGUGUGGAGGCAGAAGCGGCCCUUGGUAUCAUAUAAGAGACGGAAGUUCUCAUUUGUCUUGGGGAUUGACACAACAUCUAAUACCAGAAAGCAUAAGGAUCUAUUAUAUGUAUUAAGUAUUGCAAAAUAGCCUAGAUAGGAGAGAAAGCAGAGAAUAGAGAGAAUCACAUCUUUGCACCCAUGAAAAAUACUAGUAACCUGUCUCCAUGGUUUAAUGAAUUCUUUAAGCAUAGUUAAGGUUUCAAUCAUUUGGGAUGGGCUUUAUGGUUUUGCUAACUAUUUCACAAGUAAUACAUCAAGCUCAUUUUGGAAUACAACAAUUCAAAGUAGAAUAAGAAUAAGGACAAACUUUUUAGCACCUACCCAUGAAACCGGCAGGGUAUGUCUUAUCAGUCCUAACUUUUCCAUCAACAAGCACAUGUCGUUGCAUCAGGAUAGCAAUGACUUCACGGUAAGUCAGUGCAUAUUUGAGCCUGUUCCUCAGGAUCAGAAUCAAGGGUAAGCAUUCUCUGGAUUUGUGCGGACCAGAUGAUGGCUUGGGUGCCUGAAAGGUGUUUUAUAAAGGUUUAUUGAACCAUAAAAUAAAACCAAAUAACGAUACAAACUGAAAAGUUAAAAAAAUGCAGCUGAAAUUAGCUGACUUACAAAUGCACCACCUAGCUUGUCAAGCAUCCAAUGCUUUGGGGCAUUGAGCCUCUUCAAAUGUUUCUUCAACCCCCUCGCCUGUAGUAACACCAGAGAAGAAGAGGUGAAACCCCCUAAAAUAUUGCAAACAAAUAUGAAAGGAAAAAAAAAAUCUUUGCAACAGAAAAAGGAAAGAAAAUUUAGACUUAAAAAACAUACAUAUGUACUAUUAAUGUAUUAUCCUAAGCCUUAAAACUUGAGUUUUUAUAUUCAUACAAUAAUCUCAUAAAGGUUUACAAGUAACCAGUUCCCAAAACAACAUACCGGCUGCAUUUGUCACUACAAAAAUCAUCAAAUUCUUAAAAGCACAUGAUAAAACAUCAGUGAUAUUUAAAAUAAAAAAAAAACUCAAAGCACGAAGACAUUAUACCUUGAAAACCAAAGAUUAAAUGGGGAAAACAAGAACUAAAAUAAGAUCAAAGAAGCAAACCAGAUUUGACAUCCAAAAAACAUUUGCAUGAGUGUUUAGGACAAGAAAAUUACAAACAGAUAAAGGAAAAACAUCUAGGGAACAGCAAAUAAUAGUUUAAAACAAAAGUUAUUUUAAACUAAAAAAAAGCCAUAAAAAAGAAGUGGAAAUUAUUUGCAAUUAUACAUUUUUCAAGUUUAUGACACCCUCAGAUAGAAUUUAUAAAUGAACAUCAUAGUUGAAAAAUGCUGAAAAUUUAUCUUUCACUCUUGUUUCUGUUUCUCUAAUUUGAGUGAGUCAAGAAAAGUUCAUAAAAUGUUUUGAAGUUACAAUUUAUUUCAAUCACCCACAUUCUCUAGCAAGUGAGCACAAGCUUAAUUCAUUUGUAAACAAAAUGGAUUUUAAUAGUUUAUUUUUUCACAUUGAAGUCUUAAAGUUCUAAUAACAAAUACUAUAUACCUCAUCAAAUCUCAUAAAAAAACAAGCUUCUAAACAAUCAUGUGUCCCGCACCAACAACCCAUUAAACAUUACUUUAACCAAAACACAGAUGAAAUUAAUGAGUGGUAUUCACUAUGAUACAAAAAAAGUAAGAACCAAAUACAACCAGCAGAUCUACAUAACAGUUACAUGACAGGCUUAUAAGACAUGAACACUAACCAUUUUGCUGGUGCUGGCUCGACCUCAAAGAGUCUUCUCGCCGAACGUCCUUCAAAGGUAAAAUUAACAAAAUAAAUUAAACAUACAAAACUGGGCAACCAAAAGCAUGAGAUAUGAUUAUUUGAGUUUCAAGAAAUAAAUAUCUCUUAAUAGCAAUUAUUUAUCAACUUAUACAUGUUAAUAUGGUGAAAAAUAUUUAGAUAAUCAACUCCCCCUCAUCCAUCCAGUCCUUUUCAUUAGAAAGUUUUACCAUCAGAAGGAAAUUCCAGCACAGAUUAUAACUGAUUUCAGAAUGUACCGCCAAAGACGCAGAAAGAAGAAAAAUCAAAAGCGAGACAAAAAUGGGAGAGAUAAAAAAACUACAACUGAGUAAUCGAAAUUAUAUACAAGCACAUAGAAAAAAAAAUACAAGCAUAUGUAGGAAAAAAUAAUAGAAAAGCACAAAAGUAUAUACAUUGAUGCGUAUGAUCAAACAAGGGUAUCGCGAAGAAUGAACGGACAAAAGAACAUCAGAAAAAGAAGAGAGACGGAAAAGAAAGAUUAAGCGAACCGAUCCACGACGAAGAAGCCGGUUCCAGUUUUAAUUAGCAUAUCACAGUACAAACAAACACGGGAAUCAUACUGAAAAUACAGAAUGGAGUGAAGCAUUACCCCGAUGCAGGAGGCUGAAACUCCCAGCUGCUACGGUCUCUGAGAUGCGCGACUACGAGGACGAAAACAAAACGGGGUUUAUAUAGUGCGAUUCNNNNNNNNNNNNNNNNNNNNNNNNNNNNNNNNNNNNNNNNNNNNNNNNNNNNNNNNNNNNNNNNNNNNNNNNNNNNNNNNNNNNNNNNNNNNNNNNNNNNNNNNNNNNNNNNNNNNNNNNNNNNNNNNNNNNNNNNNNNNNNNNNNNNNNNNNNNNNNNNNNNNNNNNNNNNNNNNNNNNNNNNNNNNNNNNNNNNNNNNNNNNNNNNNNNNNNNNNNNNNNNNNNNNNNNNNNNNNNNNNNNNNNNNNNNNNNNNNNNNNNNNNNNNNNNNNNNNNNNNNNNNNNNNNNNNNNNNNNNNNNNNNNNNNNNNNNNNNNNNNNNNNNNNNNNNNNNNNNNNNNNNNNNNNNNNNNNNNNNNNNNNNNNNNNNNNNNNNNNNNNNNNNNNNNNNNNNNNNNNNNNNNNNNNNNNNNNNNNNNNNNNNNNNNNNNNNNNNNNNNNNNNNNNNNNNNNNNNNNNNNNNNNNNNNNNNNNNNNNNNNNNNNNNNNNNNNNNNNNNNNNNNNNNNNNNNNNNNNNNNNNNNNNNNNNNNNNNNNNNNNNNNNNNNNNNNNNNNNNNNNNNNNNNNNNNNNNNNNNNNNNNNNNNNNNNNNNNNNNNNNNNNNNNNNNNNNNNNNNNNNNNNNNNNNNNNNNNUGAAAAGCACAAACUGUUUAUUGUAGCUUUCUCAUGGUCAUCAUACCUGAACCUUUACAAAAGACCCAAGUAUACCACAAAAUUUUGAUAAGAUAUCUAUAUAUAUAUAUAUAUAUAUAUAUAUAUAUAUACCUAUUUAGUUAUAUAGCUGAUUCUUUACAGUAAAAACUAGAUAAGUAAAACAUAAAACAUGAUCAUACCAUUUUCUUACUUAAUCAACAACAUAUACAAGGGUUUAGAUCCUGCCAACUAACACCAAACCCAACAAAAUCAAUAUGGUAUCAAGCCAACAACUCCAUUUCAUCAACUCCAUUCGUAUCAAAAGCUUCUUCCAGCUAUAUAUAUGUGUGUGCCCAUAAGAUCGCUAUGUUCUCCAUCAGAAAACAUCAAGUCUCCUCACUUGUGCGCCAACAAAAAUUUGACAAACCCUAAUGGCUAAAGCUCUUGCAUUUAGCACCUCCGCCUUCUGUUUCCUCUUCAUAUCCCUUCUCUUUGGGUGUGCCUAUUCGGCAAGAUUUCUUGAUGAAAUAGAACAUCAACCACAAGUCAUAGCUGAUACACCUGACGAAGAAUCCAAUCUGGCAACACCACCUGUUACUACCAUCAGUACAUUUCCAAGUGGCCAAAUACCUACUACAACUGUGCCAACCGAUGAAACACAACCACCAGUUGAUGAUGUGGCAUCACCUAUUGAUGAUGUGACACCACCAAUCGCCGACGUGGCACCACCAAUUGAUGAUGUUGCAACGCCUAUAAGCAAUGGAUCACCGCUAACAAAUCCUACUAAUGUUGCUACUACCACUACUACUACCACCAAUAUGCUGCCAAGUACAUCACCUACGAUGACAAAUUCAGGUACGGAGGCAGGUCCUGUUGGACCACCACGAGACUCGACAUUGUCAUUCUUCAUGCAUGACAUCUUAGGUGCGUCCAACCCAUCGGCUAGGGUGGUCACUGGGAUCAUAGCAAACACUGAGAUCAAUGGCAUACCUUUCUCCAAGACCAACAACAAUUUUUUCCCCAUCAGUGGAGGAUCCCCACUUCUCAACCUCAACAACAUCAACAACCUCAUAAACCCAAACACUGCACCGUUACUCACGGGCUUAAAUGGCGGAAAACCCAACACUAUAGUACAAAAUGCUGGCAAUAACAACAUCUUCAAUAGUAACAACCAACCUUUUGUCACUGGUGGGCAACUCCCACCAGGACCCACCCUUCAACGGCUUAUGUUUGGAUCAAUCACCGUGUUCGAUGACGAGUUGACAGAAGGACAUGAACUAGGAUCAGCUAUAAUAGGUAGAGCACAGGGGUUUUACUUGGCCAGCUCCAUAGAUGGUACUAGCCAAACCAUUGCAUUGACAGUAUUGUUACAUAGUGAUCAUGAUCACCAUGAUGUUGAAGACACUAUUAGCUUCUUUGGAGUUCAUCGGACAGCAUCACAUGAAUCACAAAUUGCAGUCGUCGGUGGGACCGGAAAGUAUGAGAACGCUAAUGGGUAUGCAACAGUUGAGACACUUCACGAAGAAGACCAGCAUACAUCAGACGGUGUGGAUACCAUCCUGCAUUUCAAUAUUUAUCUCUCUUAAUUGAUUGGCAACUGAUUACUUUAGUCUAUAGUUGUCUUUGUGUGUGUUUGAGAUUGUAUGAAAGCAUGUAUUCAAAUAACCAAUGUAUGCUAUAUAAGAGCAGGAAAAUCAUCUAGCAUCCGAAUGAGAAUUUAUUGUGGGUUGUUGGAUCAAAUCAAAUCUCAAUGUUAAUUUUUUAACAGUGCCAGUCAUUUUUUGGUUGGAAAAGACGAUAUAAAUCGAUAUGUUUUGGUCAAAAGAUGAAUUGACAAAGUAAUCCUGAUUAAAAACAGAAAUAGAAUCAAUUGGAGGAUGAAAGAAAACAACUACCUUAAAAGGAAUGGGCCAGAAAAUUUAAUUCAGAAUUACAAAUCACCUUAAAAUUAUUGUAAUAAUAUUUUACAACUUGUCAAGAAAAUAAAAACUUAAUGAAAAUUCAUGUCUCCUUAGUUAAGUUUUAAAAUAUAUGAUCAGAAUGUAAUUUAUUGUGUUUGAGUUACUAACACCUUCUCCAUGAAUAUUAUCACCUCCUUAAAUUUCUUGAUAAUGAAAAUUUAAUCCUUAACUUUUAAAACUAGGAAAAAAAUCACACCAUCAAAAGGAUUAAUGUGAGAUCUCGAUAACUUAAAACAACAAAUUAUGUUCUAAUUAUAAAUAUUACGAGAAAAAAAAAUUAGAAGUUUUUCUAUAUUAGAAUUAGAACUCUCUCAAAGAACAUAUAUGUUAGACUAAUAUAAAAAUUGGAACUCUCCAAAUAUAUAAAAAUUAAAAUUAGUAGUUAACUACGAAUUCAAAAAGUAUUGAACCACAUCCAACUGAGGAAAAUUGAGGGAGAAUUCACAAACAGAAAGUGAGACAAAAUUCUGGGUCAUUUUUACAGCAAUCUCUUAAAGGAAGUAUUUGAGAAAUUUUCUUGGAGGUCUCGCUGCAAAUAUGUAUUAUAUAUAUGUACAUAUAUAGCGAGUACUAAUUGAAUGAGAAUUGAACCAAAUGCAACCUAAAGAUAUUUAAGGAAUUCAUCGAGAGAAAUGAGACACAAGAUUAUAAAGUAACUGGGAAAAUUUCUUGGAGGUCUUUCUGCAUAUAUUAUCUUAAUAAAUAUAUGUGAAUUGACAUCUCUACAAAAUUUAGUUGAUUAAAUCAAGAAUAUAGAACAUAACAAUGUCGAUUUAAAGAAAUCAAGUUACAAGUUUUACCCACGAGUAAUUUGGCUGUCCGAACCUCGCCGACCCGUCGAAGGGAAAUGCAGGUUGCCUUGCACGGCUACUAAGCGAAGAAGAUUUGAAUUUGAAUAUGAAAAUGAAAGGAGGCGGGAGGAGCGUGUGAGAGAGAAACCAGUGAAGGUAGUCGGCUCCCCGCUAAGGACGAUUAGGGUAAAAGGAAAACUAGGGUUUAAAAAUAUAUGUUGUGAAAACAAAGGGGCAUUCCGAGAAUUGAACUCGGGACCUCUCGCACCCUAAGCGAGAAUCAUACCACUAGACCAAAUGCCCAGGUGACAAACUUCCUCAAAUGAAAUAUAUUCAGUAAUCAAAACGCUCCAAUUUUUUAUUCAUCCUGUCUAAACUUUCAGUAACUUCAAUUUAUGAUAUAAUUGUUAUUUGUGUUUGAUUCAUAUUUAUCACUUAAUUAUACAUAUAAAAGAUAUUAACUAGAGUAAAUGGUAAAGUCCAACAAAGAAGACUUCAAGCAUCAGAAAACCGGCAUGGAGCUACUGGCUAUCGCAAUGUUCAAAUGUUUCACACCAACACGUAGAUUGUAGUAUUUCACAUACCAACAAAUCGAAACAAAACUUGAUGAAUGUUUAUAUCUCGCUAAAUCGAAAACCUCACUCGACCAAACUAGACCAAAACUUUUCCUAUGUACAACUCUCUCUCAUGUAUCCUUAUAGUAUUCUAACAAAGAAGCAGACAACAAAAACACUACUUCCUCUCUCUUUUAUACUUCGAUGAUAAAAAAUUUAUCUGCCAAAGAAUCAGAAGAAAAACAAAAGACAACUAUCACUCAAAAACUCUCACUGCUAACAACCUCAGCUGUUAGCUCAUCAAUCAAAGAAUUCUCUAUUUCCCUACCAAUUAUCUCAAUCUCAUCUCCCAGUUCUAACCAACUGUUGCCCCUUCCCUCUAGUGCAUUCAUGGAUGUGUUUGCUUUUGCUUGUUUUUCUGAAUUCGCAAGCAACAUUCCAAGCUCGUCAAUUACCUUCAGACCUCGCUUGAGCCUUCUUGAUACAGGCUUCGUCCACGUAGACAUGCCCAUGCAUGGCCGUAGAAGCUCUAGCAGUCCUAAAUUUAUCCGGUCGAACAAAAGCCUCCUUUCUGACCUCUUCCAUGAUGUUUGCUCACCAUACUUCUUCUCUAGGUUCUCAAAGACUCUAGGAUUUAUAGGGCAUUCCAAGGAGUGCCACUUAUGAAAUCCCUGGUUCCCAUCAUUGAAACCUGCCUCAGUUAGGACCUCGAUUAUAUAUGAGAAAUCCCUGCUUUCAACUUCAGACAAUUUAAUUACACAUUUGUGUUCUUUGCAUUCUGAGUCCCAUGUUGAUGUUUCCCCAAUAUCUUCAUCAUCACUAGACACAAUCAUACCGGAUCCUUCUGAGAAUGUCUCUGAGGAUUCUGAUUUCAGAAUUUCAAGUCGCCAUUUUACACCUAUAAUACACAAUAAGAAUUACAACUACAGAAAUUCAGCAAAUAUAACGAACAUCACAAGCAAUCCUCUUAGGAAGCUUACCAUCCAAAUUGACACCCUGGAAGCAUUCAGAGCCUACUGAGAUCUCAUCUUCAAAAGGUGGUACAAGUACUGAAACUGGACUGGGCUGGUAGGCCUCUUCCAACUUCGAGGAGGACUCAGAAUCUGUGCUAGAGAAAUUUGAGGAAACAGAACCUUCAUCAGAGAUUCUGCUCAACAAAUCCUGCAAAGCAGUGACAACAUUUGAAGUGAGAAAACAUAUAAUUAAAAUUUUUGUAUCUCCAGUAACUGACUGCCUAAGUAGCUGGGAUUUCCUCGGUUAAUAUGCUGUCUCUCGAAUUUAAGUGCAUGAGAUAAUAAGUAUCUGAUAUGAAUCAUCUUAGGCUCCAGCAUAACCUUGUUAUACAUAACAGUCACAUAUGCAACCAGAGUUGACAUUGGAUGAGCCAAGCUCCUAUUUGUUCUUUCCCUCAACAACUCUCCCCACCUUUGUUAACCAACUAGAAAGCAAAAUAAGAAACCCCAAGCACAUAUUUGCCUCCAAUACAUUCCCUUCAAAGAUCUAGAUUAAAAGUUUUUGCAAAUAUAAAAAAUUUUCCACCAGCAGUUUACAUCACCAACAAAUACUAAAUGAAAUAUAAUGGAAGUAGACUGCAUUCUAAAAGAAGAUGCUAGUGUUGUUUAAGUGCCUUAAAAUCUUUACAAUGCUACCUUACCCAUGAUACAAUUAGAAAAUUGUCUAAUUUAUGAUGAUAGAAACUUUAAUGAAUCAUGGAGUAUAAAAUAGUAAUGCACAUGGAACAUAUACCAUAUCAUUUGACACAAACCAGUGAAAUAUGUGGACUUUAAUGUCAAACAUAUUAGGACCUAUCGAAGUGGGCUAAAUUUAAUGGAUACAUGCUAUGGGAGAUUCAAAAUGAUAUGAGCAAGUAUGGUACUAAAUGGUCAUUAGUAGAUAUUUGAAGAUUUCCAUAAGAAACAUCAAACCUGUUGAUCUGAAGCUUCUGGGGAAUGAUAAGAAGAUGCAUCAUCUUCCACCAAUGGAGUGAUAUCCAUAGAUGCCAACUGUUGCUCCUUAUGAUUUCCAAAGUAUCUGCCCAUGACCUCAGAUUCUGUGACAGCCACCAUAUUCGUAGUCAUUUUGACUGGGGUAACACUUCUUGUUGAUGUAUUUUCUGAACCACAGCAAAUAACACUAUCACUUGAUGAUAUAGAAAGCACAGAAUUUUGUCCUGAUGAAUGCUUCCCUUUAGAUUCGUUCUUUAGCUCGUUUUGGAACACAUGAUUACCUCUAACUGAUUGAACAUUUUCUGAAUGCAACCCAGGAACAUACUGAAACUUCCUGAAACUGAACUUUCUUAACUUGGGCUGUGCCUGAAUGACAGAUUCUUGAGUCUUUACUGUUCUCUGAUUGAUACCAGCUUUUGGACUCAUAAUGCCAGUAGAAUAGGUUGAGGGAGAUCCCACUGUUAAAUUUCGGAAGCAAACAUCCUUGCGGCCAUCCCUACUGCUAAUGCAUAAAGAAGUACCAGAGUUCAUAGAUCUAUCUUCAGUAUAAAAAUUAUUGCUCUUCCCACCAAGCUUGAAAUGGGAACUUCCAAGCCUCAUGCCAUUAUCAGGCAAGGCAAGCAUUUCACCUAGUGUUCUAGUUUUUAACUUACUUCCAGUAGCUAAUCCAACUUCUUGACACCCUUGAGUUGUCUUCCAUCUUUCUGAGAUAUUUUUCUUGGCUUCCUUGUCGAGACAUAAUCCAUCUGAAUUGCAAAAAGAGGCUUGAUAUCCAUUCUUCAUGUGAGACAAAUAAGGAAAAGAGACAAUCAAGGAUUUUGACUCUUUUAUUGUGUUUCUUUCACUUGGUGUGUUUUUGAAAUUGUUGCUUGUCCCAUGCUCUGUCGAUCUAGGAAAAUGCUUUGUGGUUUCACUUGACAAACUAUCCAUUUGUUUGAUAAAUUUGAUUUCAUCAGCCAAUUUCUUCGUCAAAUAAGAAUCUGGGUUUUGUUUUUCAGCAUAGAGCUCUUUGUUUUUCCAAUCACCUGAACAAGAAUCUGGAUAGGUAUGAAGUAAAGAAGACCCUCUAGGAACACACUCUGACCGCUCAGCAGUUGGCUUCAGAACAACAAUCCUUGAACGGCGAGAGAAUGAUCCAAUCUUUGACUCAUCUUGGUAUCUUGGCACGCUAUUAAUGAUAUCAGGACUAUCCUCUCCUUGAGAACCUUUUAUAGGAGCAUGCUCUGGUUUCUGAUGCAUUUUAAGAUUUCCUGAAUCAAUUCUCCACCCAGUUUUGACGCAAAUGUCACUCUUUCCACAUUGAGAAGAAGCUGACGAGUUUAAUGGUAUAUACCUUGAUUGCAUGUUAAGAGAGACGCCUUGUAGAUCGCAAAGAUGCUUAGAAAUCAAAGAACUUGGCUUCUGAAGAUAACUUUGAAAAUGGUCCUUUCUCAAAUCCGCUUCAGAUAGAUCGUGAGCUUUCUUUAAAGUCUCAACAUCCAUGUCCACUGACAUUGAAUCCACAUCCAUAACCUUCUGGCUCUCAAAUGCCAUCUUUGGCUCUGGUGAGCUUGGUUUUGCUUUCAUUUUUUCAACUGAUACUUUGUAAUGCUUCUUCCUCUUUAGUGUUUCUUGUACUGCAUAUACAUGCUCAAAAUCUUCUUGAUCUUCGACACUCGAACUAAAUGAUCGUUGUUUAUGAGAUGAACGCUUCUCCCAGACACCUAUAGAUGCAACUCUGUGCAAGUAAUUCUCGGAGAGCACUCUCUUCUGUUUCUUGACAGGCUGCUGAGGGGUUAAUUCAUCAAGGCCCAUCAAUCUUGCAAUGACACUAGGCGUGCUUUGCCUAGAUUCCAAUUUCGUAGACAUUUCUCCCACUAGUUUAAAUGGACACUCCCUAAGGUCAUGAAUUCUAGAAAAUGCAAGACAACACCUGCACCAAACACAGAAAAAUUCUAGGUGAAAAUAGUAAUUAAACAUAUACCCCACAAAAUGCCUUCCCAUUUCAUUUUACUUGACUUUUUUGGGCUAACUACUAAAUAUGUAAACAAGACAUAAUAACACCCUCAAGAGCAAACCAAUGAUAGCCCACUUACUCUAUUUUUCCUUAAUCCUAAUGCUGCAGCAGCAACUGGAAUCAGACACAAAGCUUAGAAGCACUUAUAUUUUUCCACAGUCCCCUGCUUCCCCGAAAUGAUUUUAUGAUAUUUCAGCGAAGACGGAUAUAUAUCAAAUUAGUGAAAAAUAACCUUAAAAAACUAACAAGAAAAAAGGAAAUAACUCAAAGAGCUUUUGAAUGAAAGCAUAUAAAUAUGAAUCCUAAGCCUGACCAUAAUCUCAAAAAGUAAUGCACAUAAAGGAAUAAUUCUUUUACGGAAGACGUUCUUCAGAGGUGAAAGCAUCAUCCCGUAUGUCCUAUAUCUAUGAAUCAAUGUUUUUCUUGAAUAUAAUAAGGAAAGGGAUAAAGACAAAACAACCACUUAGGAAACAAAGAUGAAACAUGAAUAAAAUCUGUGACCGGAGAAGAAAGAAAAACAAAAAAGAGAAUAGAAGAAGAAGAAAAAGAGAAAGGAACUUGUGAAAGGCAUUGAAUGGCUAAUGAAUGAUGAUGAUUGGUAUCCUAUAAAAGCCAAAAUCAGAUAUUUUUAGAAAAACCCUAAUGUCAAGAACACAGUAUGGUCACAACGAGCAAUCAACAUGGAUAAAACAAAAUAAAUAAAAAUAAAACAGCAACUUUUGGCAAGAAAUGAUUAGAACAGCAUGAGAACAAAGUGUAAAGUGCAAAGCAAAAUGGAUGAUAAACCAAACAAGUAUUGACCAUAACUUUUCAAUUUUAUUUCAAAACAAAAACAAGACAAUAUCAUUCUGGUAGCCACUACAGUUUUUUUUUUUAAAGAAAAAACCACCAUUAAAUUAACUCCACCUUAAUAAACAAAAUCCCACUUUGAGAAUAUCACAAGCAAGAAUAAAAAACCCACCCAUGAAAAAAAUACCAAACAAUCAGAAAAUAAAUAUUAAACAACCCAAUAAGGGAAAAGGAAAGAAAAGAAAACCCAUAUCCUGAAUCAAUAAAAGAAAUAAAAUCUGACCUUCAUUAAUAGAUCUGCAACUGGGGUUUCUUUAUAUGCUCAUGAUUUGAUUUUUCCAUAUACACUCCAUGAAAUCUGUAUUAAAUUCUCAAUCUGGAGGAAAAUGAUUCAGAUGAUUCUCUCUGUUUUGCUUAUAAUUCAAGUAAGAAGAGACAAGAGCCCACAAAUUGAAAAGGACAAGUCCAGUCAGCCGUAUAAUUAAUGAAAAUGGUCAAAAGGGUAAGGCAAUACUUCAAAUUUAGCAAAUUUUAACACGCAAAAAAGUUGGUCGGUUAUAUAAAAAAGAAAAAAAACUGAAAUUUUUCCGAAAACAAAGUAAAAAUCAGAGUGUCGUAAAGAUAAAAAUGAGAAAUUGAUAAGGAGGACGAGUACCCAGAUAAUAGAAAAGGCAGAGUUGGAUUCUUUUUUUCUUUUAAUAAAGGUGUCCUUUUAUGGUAACAAAGGUGUCGUUUCAUGUAUCUACGCGCGAACAUGGAUUGUCGUUUUCGCGUAUUUCGCGCCAAAAAAUAUACACUGGUGUCGUUUCGGUAGUUGUGGAAAUUGAUAUCGCCAGUUACGAUUUUGCUUGGUGCAGGAACGAACCGUCUGUUUUUUAACAGUUUGAUCUCUGAGUGGUGGUGGGCGGAUAGUAAAAUGAUCGGUUGGGCAAAUAAUUUUUUUUUUCUUUUAAAUAUAAUUAAUAAUUUAUUUUUAAUUUAGUAAGUUACUAAUUUACAAUUGCAUUUGCAUGGGAUUGUGAUUUGACCAGAUUUGGUUUGGGUAUCUUAAUCUCUUUUGGAUCCAACUAGGGCUUCUAUCCAUUUAAAACAAAAUUAGGGUUACUGUCUUGGGACCCACGGCUAUAAUUUUUUUAUACAAAAAAUAAAUAAUUCAAUUCUAAAAAUUGGACCAAAAAUUAUAUGAUAUAUUAUUUUUAAAUUGUCUACCUAAUAUCAAUUGUUACAUUUAAAUACGGAAAUGAAUUUGUUAUAUAAUAACUAUAAUUACUAACAAGUCAAGUUUACCCAUGUUAUUAAUAACAUAAUUUAAAAAUAAUAAUGACGACUAGUAAUUGACAAAAUAUAGUGUGAAUAUUUUUUAAAAAAAUUAUAUUUUGAUGUGACGUGUGCUAAUAUAAUGCAACAUUGAUUAUAAUAUUAUCUUUGUGAAAACAUAAUUAUUAAUUUUCCAUGUAACUCAUUAAUUGCAUUUGCCCUUUGACCCACAAAACUAGUAGGGUAUAAUUGAGACCACCAUGCCUUAUUAUGGUCCAUUAAAAGAACCAUUUUUUAUUCUUUUUAUUAUUUGUUUAAUGGUUUAUUUGAAAUGAACAAUGUAUUUUUUUUUAUAAAUUUAAAUUUGAAAUAAAUAAAAAAAUAUUAUUUAUUGUUAAAUAUGUAACGGCUCCGGAAAUUUAAAUGAAAUGUAUGUAUUAAAAUCUCAAAUGCCGAAUCGUAAUAAAAAUUUUGAUUAACAUCCCUUACACAAUAACCAAAACGUACUCAAAACAUAAAGGAACAAACUAACUAAAAAAGAUACUCGAAAUAAGAACUAUAAAUAUAACUAUCAAGUAUUUAAAUGUCCCCUUCGCCGUCUUCCUGCGGAACGGACUCGAGAANNNNNNNNNNNNNNNNNNNNNNNNNNNNNNNNNNNNNNNNNNNNNNNNNNNNNNNNNNNNNNNNNNNNNNNNNNNNNNNNNNNNNNNNNNNNNNNNNNNNNNNNNNNNNNNNNNNNNNNNNNNNNNNNNNNNNNNNNNNNNNNNNNNNNNNNNNNNNNNNNNNNNNNNNNNNNNNNNNNNNNNNNNNNNNNNNNNNNNNNNNNNNNNNNNNNNNNNNNNNNNNNNNNNNNNNNNNNNNNNNNNNNNNNNNNNNNNNNNNNNNNNNNNNNNNNNNNNNNNNNNNNNNNNNNNNNNNNNNNNNNNNNNNNNNNNNNNNNNNNNNNNNNNNNNNNNNNNNNNNNNNNNNNNNNNNNNNNNNNNNNNNNNNNNNNNNNNNNNNNNNNNNNNNNNNNNNNNNNNNNNNNNNNNNNNNNNNNNNNNNNNNNNNNNNNNNNNNNNNNNNNNNNNNNNNNNNNNNNNNNNNNNNNNNNNNNNNNNNNNNNNNNNNNNNNNNNNNNNNNNNNNNNNNNNNNNNNNNNNNNNNNNNNNNNNNNNNNNNNNNNNNNNNNNNNNNNNNNNNNNNNNNNNNNNNNNNNNNNNNNNNNNNNNNNNNNNNNNNNNNNNNNNNNNNNNNNNNNNNNNNNNNNNNNNNNNNNNNNNNNNNNNNNNNNNNNNNNNNNNNNNNNNNNNNNNNNNNNNNNNNNNNNNNNNNNNNNNNNNNNNNNNNNNNNNNNNNNNNNNNNNNNNNNNNNNNNNNNNNNNNNNNNNNNNNNNNNNNNNNNNNNNNNNNNNNNNNNNNNNNNNNNNNNNNNNNNNNNNNNNNNNNNNNNNNNNNNNNNNNNNNNNNNNNNNNNNNNNNNNNNNNNNNNNNNNNNNNNNNNNNNNNNNNNNNNNNNNNNNNNNNNNNNNNNNNNNNNNNNNNNNNNNNNNNNNNNNNNNNNNNNNNNNNNNNNNNNNNNNNNNNNNNNNNNNNNNNNNNNNNNNNNNNNNNNNNNNNNNNNNNNNNNNNNNNNNNNNNNNNNNNNNNNNNNNNNNNNNNNNNNNNNNNNNNNNNNNNNNNNNNNNNNNNNNNNNNNNNNNNNNNNNNNNNNNNNNNNNNNNNNNNNNNNNNNNNNNNNNNNNNNNNNNNNNNNNNNNNNNNNNNNNNNNNNNNNNNNNNNNNNNNNNNNNNNNNNNNNNNNNNNNNNNNNNNNNNNNNNNNNNNNNNNNNNNNNNNNNNNNNNNNNNNNNNNNNNNNNNNNNNNNNNNNNNNNNNNNNNNNNNNNNNNNNNNNNNNNNNNNNNNNNNNNNNNNNNNNNNNNNNNNNNNNNNNNNNNNNNNNNNNNNNNNNNNNNNNNNNNNNNNNNNNNNNNNNNNNNNNNNNNNNNNNNNNNNNNNNNNNNNNNNNNNNNNNNNNNNNNNNNNNNNNNNNNNNNNNNNCUCAGUAUCGAAAAACGAGCCAAGGAGAGAAAAUUUACCUCGAUUGGUGGUCGGAAACUUCUCCGGUGCAGCGGCAGGUGGCGGCAGCCGGCUCCUCCAGCAUCUGGUUCUUCUUCUUCGGCGAAGCACUGGCGGCUAUGGUUUUGUGGUCAGGUGUGGGUAGGGUUAUUUAUACUCUUUGCCUUUUAAUCUCAACCGUCCAUCAAGAUUAAACCUGAACCGUCCGAUCGCGAUCUAAUUAGGAUUAAAUCUGGGCCGUCCGGGCGCACGUUUGAUCUGGGCCGUUUGUGCGCACGUUUAAUCUGGGCCGUCCGUGCGCGCGGGAACGGAUCUGGGCCGUCCGAUUGCGUGCACGCGAAUCGCUCACGUGGCCCGUCCUGUGUCAGCGUUUCCUUGCCACGCAGCGUGUCCUGGUUGGCCGGGGCUGCUGACCGGGCCGCUGACGUGGCUGCUGACGUGAGUGCUGACGUGACACAACUUUUCUAAAUUGCGUUUGACCCCCGGGUUUCGAUUUUGUUUUCAAAAACACCUCCAGAAUCUAAAUUUUCACUCUUUUUUUUCAAAAUCAAUUUCAAUUAAAUUCAAAUAAUAUUUUUACCCAAUUUUAUCAUUAUUAUUAUUUUUAUUUUCAUUAAAUUAAAUUAAAUUAAAUCUAAAAAAAUUCAAAUACAAAAAAAAAGAAAAAUAAAAAUAAUAAGAAUAAAAUUAAAAAUACUUGGGUGUUACAAAAUAAAUAGAUUUCAAAUUUUUAUCUGCAUUAUGAAUAUAUUAUUUAAAUUUUAUUUUAUAUUGCAUUUUAUAUUCUAACUUUAUUUUAAACUAAGGUAAAUUAUAUAUAUGCGAUCAAUAUUAAGAUAAUUAUAAAUAGGUACAUUAUUUUUAUUGCUUUUCUAUUUUUGAUAAACUAAAAUUUUUAUGUUUUUAUUUUAUAUAACAAAAUAAUUUAUUAUUUUAUUAUUUUUUAUCAUAUUAUAAUAACAUAAUUGGUACGUGUGAUACGUAUUUAAUUACUGUUUUAAAAAAUAUAUAUUAAUAAUAGAUAUUCAUUAUUAUUAAUUGAUAGAAUUUAACUUGAAUUUAAAUUUAAUGGAAUCCGAAUUAAAAAUUCUAAAGCUCAUUAGAACAUGAUAAUAAGUUUACUAAAUAUCAAUAAAAAUAAUUUAAAAAACAAAAUUUUGAACCUAUGGUAAUUGCUUUAUUUACUUGAUUUAAUAUAUCACGUUUAAAUCUAAUUUAUCUAAAAACAAAUUACAAGACUAAAGUAAAUAAUAAUUUAUUGUCUUAGUAUAAUUUCAUGCGUUUAAUGUCAUAUAAAUUUUUAUGUUAUAAAAUUUAAAAUUAUUAUAAUCAUCAAUCUCGUGCGGUUGUGCAUGAUAAAAUUUGUAUAGCUACCGUACAAAUUUUAAAUGCUUACAAUAAAACAAAUUAAAAAAUAGAUUAUUAUAUAUAUAUAUAUUCAUAAGUUGCUUAUAAUCAAAAUUAUUAAUCUAACAAAGUUUAAAAAAUAAAAUAUAAUAUAAUAAUUAUGUACUUUUAUUCAUAUACCUUAAUACUAACUACUGAUUUUACUAAUAAUAUAUUAAUCUUAUGCUUUUAAUUUAACUAUUAAAUGCACCUUAAGUUUAAAAAGAUCUAUAAUAUUUUUUCAUGAUAUUUUUUUUUAAAAAUAUUUUUAAAUAGUUGAAAUAUUUUUUUAUACAAUCUAAUGGUCCAAAAUUAUUGAUGCACAUUGUAUAUGACUCAAUCGCAUGUAGUAUUCUCCCGUAAAAAAAAAAAAUUAGAUCAGAUAUUUAUCUGUUGAUGAGUAAUAUAAUUAAAGAAAUAUAUUUAUAUGAAUUUUUUUUUGGUUUAAAAAUAUAAUAAAUUUUGUAAUAUUUAAUUAAAUUUAAUUAUUACAAUUAUAUUAAUAAAUUAAAUAUUUAAUUAUAAUAAAUUAUAUGUUCUUAAUAAAAUUUUAAGUUAUGAUGUUCAAAUAAAACAAAUUUUAAUUAAUAAACCAUCGUCUUUGUUCAAAUUUAGAACAUGGCUUAAAUAGCGGCUUUGUUCGCCAUCACAUCCAGGAGCCAAUUUCUAUCUUAGUUCCCUUUUUUUUUUUAUAGAGUUUCCAUUUUUGAUUUAAUUACUAAGAAAAGGAGAGAGCAGUAAAUUUUAUUUUAAAUCAUGAAAUAUUGGAAGGGACUUUCCGGUCAAUUUUCUUCGGGCAUUUAUUGAUUUAUCAACCAAACCAGUAAAUUCCAAGCUUAGAACCCACGCAUACCCCAUCAAGGCCAACCCCUUUCUCAUUUCGUUAUUUGCUGCCUUCUCUCUUUUAUCUCCAAGGUCUCUGUAGAAUAAGAAUUGAACACAUCACUAGCAACAAAAAUUUCUCAAAAUGGCUGUGGAGGUCUGUGUCAAGGCUGCUACCGCUGCCCCUAAUGUUCUUGGAGACUGUAAGUUUAUCUUCUUCCAUAAUUGCAUGCAUUUGAGUGUUUUGAUUGACAUUAUUCUUGAAUUUUAUGCCAUGAUUCGUGUUUUCAGGUCCCUUCUGCCAAAGGGUUCUCCUGACUUUGGAAGAGAAGAAGGUUCCCUACAAGACCCACCUGGUCAAUCUCAGUGAGAAGCCUCAAUGGUAAGAUCAGAAAUCUUCAAUGGCGAGGUUUGUAUUUUUUGAAUGGUACAGCUAAUGGGUUUUGUUUAUUGUUCUAUUUGGGGAUGGGGAUUAGGUUCUUGGAGAUUAGCCCAGAAGGGAAAGUGCCUGUGGCGAAGUUUGAUGACAAAUGGGUGCCUGAUUCUGAUGUUAUUGUUGGAAUGAUUGAGGAGAAAUUUCCUGAGCCUUCCUUAAUUUCUCCUCCUGAAGUUGCCUCUGUGUAUGAUUCUCUCUCUCUCUCUCUCUCUCGACUUGCUGUUUUGUUUAUGGUUUUGUUGUCUUUUGAUGUAUGGCAUAAUUGUGCGAAGUUCAAAAUUUUUGGAAUCUUCUGUUUUUGUUGGCUGUUUAUGAUUUGUUGUUUUUCUUUCAUACUUUAAUCUGGUAGCUAGCUUUUCAAAUAUUAUGUUUUUUGUUUGUUGGGGUCUGCAAUUAUCUUCUUUGCAUAUUUUCUGCCCUGGUAGGAUAGGUUGCGCGCGGAAAACUGAAAGGUGAUUCGAGAAGCUAAGCUUUUGUUUAAUGGUAAAAAUGUGAAAACUAUGUUUGGAAAAUUAGAAUGGAAAUAUAAAGUGAGUUGAAGAUAAUUUUUUACUCGUUCCCCAUUCAUGCUAUAUUUUCAUUUUCUUUCUGGAAAUCCUAUUUUCAUUUUCAAUGGCUGUCUAUGUUUAUAUGCAUAAAAAUACAUGAAUCUAGAAAAACUUAACACUUAUUCUACAAGUAACGUGACCUAAAAGUUUCCCCUGGAAAUCAAAAUGCAUUACCACUUCCUUACAUCUCACACAAAGUUAAUAGCUUGUAAAUGCCACGAACAGGACUUUGUUUUGGGCGGUCAUCUGUUCAUUUUUUUUAUUUUUUGGCUAAUGAAUUGUGUGUCUCCCUUUGCACCUUCUUUAAAAAGUAUAAAAGGAGAGAAGAAAAUAGUUUUCUUUUUCUAUCCAAUCAUUGGCUUUUCCCUUAUUUACUUGCUUGACUCCUGUGAUUCGUUAUCAACUGAAAUUUUGAUUCUCCACCUAAUUGGGUACUGCAGCGGAUCAAAAAUAUUUUGGGCAUUUUUCACAUUUCUGAAGAGCAAGGAUCCCAGUGAUGGCUCGGAGCAGGCUUUAAUUAAUGAACUAAAGGCACUUGAUGAGCAUCUUGCUGGACAUGUAAUUUCACAAAGUCUUAAACAUAACCCUUUGUUAACGUAUAAGAUCAUUUUUAACCUUUUUGUUUUCGAGGAACAAUGAUUUUAUCAUGUUUGCGAUGUUGAAAAUAUAUGAUUUUUUUGGAGCCUUGAAUCAGGGGCCUUUCAUCGCUGGGGAAAAGAUCACUGCCGUUGAUUUGAGUUUGGCACCAAAAUUGUACCACCUCGAGGUUGCUCUUGGCCACUUUAAGAAGUGGACUGUUCCUGAAAGCUUGACUCACUUACGGGGCUACACGAAGGUGUGUGACUGUUGAACUCUGGAUCAUCUAUGCAGUGCAUUUUUGGUCAUAGAGAAUUGCUGAGAUGUUGAUAGCUUUCCCAUUUGUUCAUAAAAUAGGUUAAUACUAAAGUGUGUUACUUAUGACAAUCUUGGUCUGUGACCAUGGAUUGAUAACUGAUCCAUUUCAGGAGGUUGAGUCAAGCUGUUUAAGUGAAAUAUUAAUAUGCACUGUAUAACAACUCUAUAGGAUGUUGUAGUUUAAAAUAAGUAUGACAUCUUAUCUGCUGCGCAAUCUCUGUCAUGUGUCUCUGAGAGAGGGAGAGAAAUUUUUGUUGCGUGGAAGCCCUUUUCAAAGAAAGGUCUCAUGAUUUUUCUUAGUUAAGAACAGUGUAAUGCACAGUCAUAUUGGUAAGAUCACACUGAGUCCGAAGUUUCAUAUAUUUGCAAUGCUCAUAUCAUGAAAUUUAUGCCCUAUUUAAUCUUAUGUACUCCCUGAAUAUGCUAUAUAUGUUCUGCUCUUGCCAUUGAAGAUGCUUAUAAAGUUAUCCUUUGAGAACCUGUGUACAAAACCAUUCCAUUACAGUUCAUGGCUGCAAGAAUUGGUAAUACAUUUUUUGUUGUGAUGUGAGGUUUUAAUUGGCUUUGGCUGAGUUUGUGUUGGGAGGUUCUGGGAUCUUUGUAUUAUUUGGUUCUUAUGGUCUGUUGCAGCCAAGAAUCCGAGGUACUGAGUCACUUUUCCCUACAUAGUUUCCUUCAGAAGUUGCAUAAGAUGUAUGGUUCUUUUUUCGCUUGGGGGCGGGGGAAGGUUGAUGACUCAUGNNNNNNNNNNNNNNNNNNNNNNNNNNNNNNNNNNNNNNNNNNNNNNNNNNNNNNNNNNNNNNNNNNNNNNNNNNNNNNNNNNNNNNNNNNNNNNNNNNNNNNNNNNNNNNNNNNNNNNNNNNNNNNNNNNNNNNNNNNNNNNNNNNNNNNNNNNNNNNNNNNNNNNNNNNNNNNNNNNNNNNNNNNNNNNNNNNNNNNNNNNNNNNNNNNNNNNNNNNNNNNNNNNNNNNNNNNNNNNNNNNNNNNNNNNNNNNNNNNNNNNNNNNNNNNNNNNNNNNNNNNNNNNNNNNNNNNNNNNNNNNNNNNNNNNNNNNNNNNNNNNNNNNNNNNNNNNNNNNNNNNNNNNNNNNNNNNNNNNNNNNNNNNNNNNNNNNNNNNNNNNNNNNNNNNNNNNNNNNNNNNNNNNNNNNNNNNNNNAGUUCCUUCAGAAGUUGCAUAGAUGUAUGUUCUUUUUUCGCUGGGGGCGGGGGAAGGUGAUGACUCAUGUUAAAAAAAAGAUUAACUGCAUUCCAAGAUAGUAGCAAAGUAGGUAAAUCUGUUAUAAGCUGCAAAUCUCGCCCUUACAGUUGUGUUGGUUUGGUCCGUUGCUAUUUAUAUGUAUGUUUGUGGCAGUUGAUUUUGCUAAUGAAUCAAAGCUUUUGGGAUCUGAACAUGUUCUUAUAAUAAUGUUCUGCAGUUGGUUUUCUCUCGGGAAUCUUUUGUGAAGACUAAUGCUGCAAAGGAGUAUGUGAUUGCUGGAUGGGCACCAAAGGUCGAAGCAUGAGUUACUUUUAGAAUUCGAUGGCCUUUAAGCUAUUGUUAUAGGUGAGGCUUAUGUUGGAUGAAUGCUGCUUCUUCUAUUUGCCUAAUAAGUGUUAGAUCUAUCAUCUAUCAGUAUUUUUUUCUUUUGAGAAGAUAUCAGUAUUAAUAAAAUAACUCUGUAUUUAAUAUAUGCUACUGAUUGGUAAGCAAGUAUCUUUAUGAAAAGUAUUAUCAGCUGUCGAAAUACUAUUAUGAUUUUCGGUUUGUUCCCUUUUUCCUGAAGGUGUUAGAAUGAUCCUUAGAUGGACAACAAUGAAUAUAUAUUCUAGCAGACUUUGCGGAUAGGAUUUGAACAUCUGACACCUUGUUGGGAACUGGACCUAGAGCAGCCAAAGAAUCUCUUUUGGCUGCAUCAUUUUUAUGUUUCUCAAUAUAGAAAGGAUAGAAGCCAUGCAAGUGGGCAAUAGAAAUUCUAUAGAUUCAACAUGGGUUUCUUUGUUGUAGCUGGAGAUAUGGCCACUUAGGCACACAGAUUGUGUCUGCCGAAGCUUGUGUUCCAGCAAAAAAUUUGUUAUUUCACUUAACCAUAAGAGACUUGAUGGUCCCAUAAACUGAUUCUUUUUCUCCCCUUAAACCCUCACAAUGUUUGAUAUGAGAGAGAAUUUCACCCAAGUUUUUAUUCAUGAAACAAUAUUUUGGUAGUGGUUUUAGAUUGAUACGAGAAGUCAAAAACGUAGGGUGGUUUAGUGAGGAUAUUUUCUUUUUGCUAAGAACAGGAUCCGAUAGCUAUGUUACAAGAGAAGAAAGGUUGCAGACUGAUCCAAUAACUGACACAGAGAAUCACGUAUCAACAGUUUCCUGUGAAAGUGGUGGUGCCAACUGUGUUCUGGGUUCAAAGAGAUGAAAAUGAGUGGAAAGAUUCAAGUAAACCAAUUAGUUAGAAAUUAGAGGAUUGAAAUUCAAUGAGUCUAAACAACUACAGAUGCUGCCAGCCUAUUGUAAAACCAUAUAAUUACUGGUCUGUCCAACUGACUAGCUUAUGAUCAUGUUUGGAACUAAAAAUUUUAGUUACCUAAUUUAUUUGGUCCUAUUGCAAGUUACGAGACCCUUCAACAUGGGUAUGUCUGAGUAUGGUAUUGUAUUUCCGUGAAUAAUUUAAUAAAAUUCUAGAUACAGUCUAUUGAGUAAGAUUUUCUUAAAUUAUUGAUGGAAAUGUGAUAUCACAUUGGUGGAUACCCCUGGUACAAAAUAUCUUUCAGCGAACUAUAUCUUAUAUUACCCUUAAUUUACUUUCCAUUCAUUUUUGUUCCCACUGGAGUUAUCAGCAUGAAGAUUUUACCGUAAUUCUUGAGGGCAUUUCGCUUUGGAUUGCAGAACACAACUAUAUGAACUAAAUGCUGCUUUUAUUUUGUUAGCUUUAGGGAUAUAAUGGUUUUCAUUAUUUAAGUAGGUAGUGAUUAACAUUAUUAUGUACGAAAAGUGAUACUAUCGUUAUCAGUGUUGUCUGCAUUCUUUGGAAUAAAUAGUUGAUUUUUUGGUACAAUGAUUGUGGAUUUGGCCAAUCAUACUCUAGAAUAUAUUUGCUAAUUGGGUAGCUUUGUAAGAUGCACCCAAGAAAAAAACAUAUGACUCACAAGUCUUGCCUUGAAGCAAAUUGUUUUAUUCAACAAAAAUAGUGUGCUAGUUUGAUUUGGCCUUGAAAUUACUAGGAAAUAUUUAUUCGAAGUAUGUUGGUAAUUUGAGUUUUUACCACCAGUACUAUCGUAUAGUGGUUAAACUUCUAACAUUUUAUUUGAAGAUUAUGAAUCUUAAUAUUAUUGAACAUGUAGAAUUACUAUUUUGUUAAUAUUUUAUAAAUUGAAUAUCGUUGAUAAUAUUUGAUUUGUGGGUUUAAGAUUUAGUUCAUUACUAAGUCUGCAGUGGUUAAAUUGAUUUGGUGCUAACUGAGUCAUGACGAAAUGAUCAUUUCAUGAUAGUUAAUUUAGAGUACUUACCUCGAGUAAUAUUUAACCAGAUUUUUUCUAUUAAAAAUGUAUAUCUUGAGCUUUUUCUUUUGGUUGAUAAGUAAUUUGAAUGUUGUAUGAUAAGAUGUCGAUCGUAAUUGACAAAUGAAUGAACCAGCUAGCCUAUACCAUAUGCUGAAACCUAAACCUCCAAACCAUUGAAGCUGAAAAAAGCAAAAUGGAGCCCAGUAGUCCAAGGUUUCUCUCUGUGAUAUCAAUCAAGUUUCUUUCUUUUUUUUUUUUUUUUUGUUGGGUAAAAUCAAAUCAUUAAUAGCUUGUACAAUUAUUGUUCUUAAAUCAAUUUACUAAAAAAAGGUUUAGACUUUAUUUUCAAGAGAUGUAACAUCAAAAAAGAAUAAAAACAAAUGAAGACAGCUUGAUUCAAAUCGAGUCAUAAAAAUCAGGUCACUGACAUCAUAUUCCUUUUUAACUCUUUUACAGAAAAUGAAAAAAAUGAUCUUGAAAAUCUUAUACGACACCAAACAGCAACAUAUUACAUCAAACAAUAACAAAACAAAUUGAUGAGCAGAGUCUGUGAAAGAAGAUCAAACCAAAUUUGGUUUUGGUCGAACAAAACUAGAAAUCAAACCACAAAAUUUAAGCCACUCGUUAAGAUUAAGAAUAGAAACAAGACAUCAACAUGGUCUUCCUUUGUUUCACGAGGAAAAUAAAAACGAAUUAAAAGUUGUCGAUUGUGACGAGGCUGCUAACCAGACCAGUAGUCCCCACAGUUACAGGCUUCAUUUAUGAGAAAAGUAUGUGUCAUAGGAACGCAUGCAUUCGAGACAGAUUCUUAAAAUCCUAGCUAUGGCUAAAUCAAUUUUCUGGUACAACCCAGAAGACAUACAAAAUUCGAGAUGUAACAACCUGUCUCACCUCUUGUAUUUUACUACACCUAUACAUAUAUAUAUAUAUAUAUAUGCAUACACUAAAGAGCCUGAUAUGUAUGUUAUAAUGUUAUAAGUAGUAGCCAGUUGUUAUUCAGCACAUGCUCUAGCUGCUAAUUAUAUGGAAAUGGCACACUGUAAGAAAAACUAGCUCGAAAGUCUUGAUGUUGGAAAGGUCAAAGAAUAGAUUCAGUAAAAGUAAAUUUUUUAACUGUUUUAGUUUUAGGAGAAGAAACCAAUCAUUUUUCACCAUUACCCAGUAACAAGUAAUCAAUUAUUUCAUUAAGAGAGCUACUUAAUGAAGAUUACAGGGUUUCUCUUUUGUGUGUGUGUGUGUGUGUUUUCCUCUAGAAAUCAGAUAGCAUAUUGACGUGGCAGGCAGUGAUUGGUUAUGUCUUUAGUGUAAUUUUAUAUUAUAUAUUAUAUAUAUUUAUUAUAUAUUACAUCAUGAUUCCGUGCUCUUCCGUAUAAACAUGUGAAAAUAGGACCACAAACACAGUCACACUAUAUUUAAUAAUUCUCCUAAAGUAUUUUGGACGGAAGUGCAGAGAGUUUUGAGGGAAGCUAAUAUACCAACUAGAAAAAUACACACACAUGGAGUAGAGAUCAUUUUCAAUGGCGUAGGCGUAGGAAUUUAGUCGUCUGGUUCUUUGGAGGAAUCUGAGAUCAUCUUCUGGAUCAUUUGGCUUAUCUCUUCUUGGGACAUUCGAUCUUGUUUCGUUUGAGACUCAGCAUACGCCUCGAAGAACUCCUUGUUUUCUUUCUCUAAUUCAUUCCACACUGUUCAUACAUAGAUCAAACCAAUGAUGUUACAAUAUAUAGAAGGCCAAGUUUAUAUAUAAAUGUUAAUGUUAACAAAACAAUCGACUUGAUCAACCAAACCCUAGUGGCUACAGAGAGAUUUAGCUAAUUCAAACAUGAAGGCUAACAGAUUCUUCAAUUAGGUUACUUGCCCAAGAAGGAAUUGUGAUUUUAUAUGCAUUGAUGGAACUAUAUAUGAAGUUUGGUAAAUUAAGAUCAAUUGCUCAAGAAAGAGGUUGUAAGUCCAUAAGCUUGAUUAUGACUUACUAGAUCAAAAAGUGGAUGGUUUUUAAUGAUCUUUAUAUGGUUAAGACUUCUUUUUCAAAUGAUCUUUAUAUAAUUAAGACUGUUUUACUUUUUUCAGUUUCUGAAAAGAAUCGUUGCAUACAAAACUAACUCUAUGCAUCUCCGAUCCCUUUUAGUCCUAAACUGUUGUAAAGCAUGAUACUUGACGAGUAUCAAAAGAGACCAACUUGAUUUUUUAGUACAGUCUUAAUUCAGACUGCCUGGGGAUUUACCUUGAUGUAUCAGCUUACCCAAAGUUUGUUGAAGAUCAUGAUCAGGUAAAACUAAAAUCACCAAGUUACCAAAUUAGAAUUAAAACUAAAAUCAUGAAGUCGACUUUGAUCAAAACCAAAAUCAGUACGCUAUUAGAUCCAUCUUAUUACAUAUAAAUAUGUAAAUAUAUAUACAUAUAUGUAUAUGUCGAGUUAUGGUUUUUGUAUGCCUUCCAUGAUAUGUGCAAACAUGGAUAAAUAAGAAAAGGGAGAGAGUACUAAGGAACUAAAACAAACCAGUGGAGGUGAUCACAGGUUGAAUAUUUGCAUGUCUUGAGAGUGCUUCCAUGCACUCUUCUUUACUCAUGUGGAAGAUCAGACACUUCUCGAUCAGUGCUGCACCUGCAACAUACAAUAAAGUCACAAUCAUCAAUAAAAAAACAAAUAAAUCAGACAUAUAUACUAUUGUACCAUCACAGGAUUAUAAAGAUAUCAUCUNNNNNNNNNNNNNNNNNNNNNNNNNNNNNNNNNACUAGCUAGGGAACUUAAGUGUGUAUAGACAUAUAUAUAAUUAAAGGGAGAUGAUGAGAAGCUGGUGCAAUAUGAUAUGAUGUAGCAUGUAUAAAAGAAAACAAGGGGGCUAAUGAAUAAGAAUAUUGGUAGCAACUUAAAAGGAGGCUAAGAGGGGGUGGGGAUGGGUCCAGUAGACCCACGUGGGAGAUUGAUGAUAAUUGGCUGAGAAGGGAUUAGAGGAGAUUUGUAAAUGACUAUUCUUUGUCUUGUAGGGUAUUUUUCUUUCGCCAUUAGAGCAAAACCCUCUCCACGUGAUUAGUGGGUCCUGACCACCUACAAUUUUCCCAAACAGACAAAUCCCUCCACACCCAGUUGGCAUUCUUCAACAGUAGGUUUUUGAUCCUUCUCUCACAAUUCGUCACAUAUUGAUAUGCCAUCUCAUAUCACCACCUUAUAGUAUUUAUAAAAGACACGUCUUGAUUAAUUCAGUCAUUUCAAUAUACUCAAUGCUAUAUAUGAUUUUAAGGUAUACCUUGAUAAAUUCAGCACCUAUACUUUUCUUUUACUUGGAAACAUACAAUAUUUGCCCAUAAUGCACUGAUGGAGACCUGUUGCUUAAUCGACAAUGGCAUCUGCAAUAUCAAGAAUUUGAUCUUUGCUUCUGUUGCUCCUGAAUUAUGGUUCUGUUUUGUCAGGGUACAGUUUAUCUGCAGGCAUAUUUAUACUCAAGUCACAGCAAAGUAAAUGCAGCUGUCUGGAGAUUAAUAAUUAAGCUUAAAGUUAAAGAAAGGACUAAUGGUAAGUCGUAGAGACGAAUGUCAUUUAACAUCUUUGGCAGCGCCUCCGUAAACAAGUAUCCAUAACUCAAAAAGGCCGUCAAUAAUUGUAAUUUGAGAGAGGAGCUCUUGUGUGAUGAGAUUAAAUCAAACAUGCAAAUCAACAAUGGAGAAACAAAUAGAUUCAGAAUUUAUGUAGUUCGAUCAAAGUGAGUUACUCCAGAAAAGUAAUGAAUUCAUAAUUAACAGUAAAGAAGUCCGGAGCAACACCAUGUAACCCCACCUGUAAAUGGCAAUUAAACCAAAUGGUCUGAAAUGAUUAGUCGUUUAAUAGACCAAAUAAUUCUGUAGCUCUGUUAGAAUUCUUGACAGGUUUGUCAUUUUUCUUCUCUUUUCUCAUGCCAACACUUCAGUAUAUUCCUUCUCAAGAAAAAACCAAACAAUCCAAAAGUUUCAUAGCAGAAUAUAAUAAAAAGCCAACAAAAAAUACUCAAUGGAUUGAAACAAAAAGAAACUGUUUGCUUCUUUUAGAUAUUUUCCUCAAAUACAUAAUGUCAAGAGAGAUCUGAGGCUGUGGCCCCCCAGACUCGAAAUUAAGCUAUCCGUUCAAGAUACAAAACAGCUGCAGGCAAUGCAAGAAGCUGGAUAGAAAAUUUGGUGCUGGUGAUUUAAUAUACAUCUUGUACUUUUUAUCCCAAAUAAAAAGAAUCUCGAUAGAAAAUUACUUGCAAAGGAAGAAAUCAAAAUCCAGUGGGUAAGUAAUAUAUACAUAAACUUUUAAGUUAAUUACAUUCUAAAAACACAAAGUUCUUGGUGUACAUUUUUUUUACAUAAAUGUAUACGUCUAAAGGGUGCAAACAAUAUGCAAAUGCAGUUAUCAGUGGUGGUCCUCCGAGAAGACAUCCUAAUAGUUACAAAAUGCAGAUUGGCACGUGAUUCGAACUCUCACGUAACCGAUGAUGUUGCUCUUUCAACCUGUUUCUCAAGACUGAAUCACGCCAAUGGUAAAGAUUUAAUCUGAUUUUUAAUUAAACAUGAGAAGAACAUGCCAAACACAGAACAAUAACAAAAAAAAGUCACAAGAAAUUACCACCCCACACCGAAUUUUCAUGUGUUUGAGCUCAGUACUUCCAAUAUCUCUUUGACAGGAAAAGACAAACACAUAUUAUCAAUGCAACAGGCCUGUAAUUAGAAUUUUAAUAAAAUAACAGCAAGCAGAAACCUAAGUUUGUGAUUUCUCAUGAAGUCAAUUCCUUGUGUUACUAAUUUGGUUCUCUUUCUGUAGAAGACAACUUUCCAUGAGUAGAUAACAACUGUCCCAAAGGAAUUAGUGACCUAAGCAUGUCAAAAUAUCUUGUUGCCUAUGCAAAAUGAUUACUUUGCACAUUGGACAAACAAAUUUUAUAUCUUUUUACCACCUAGUCAUGGUUACUAAAGGGUAAUUGUUUGUUGAGAGGUAAAAUGAAGUCUGCUGCAACAUUAAUGAUUUUGGAGGGAAGUAAGAGGUAACAAACUCUUUGUCAAAAAUAUAUCAAACACUUGGCGUGCAGGAAGUUAAACAAUACAAGUACAUAAUAUACCAGCUGAUUAUGAUCACAGUGCAAUCCUAUUGACCUAUCUAUAUCUCAAAGAAUAGUUACUUACACUACCAACUGGCAAGCCUAUCUCUUUUUUGGAUGUAGUCUUUAAAUGUAAGUCUGUUUGAAAAAGCUAAGUUGGGAUUUUGAUGAUUAUAGAUAAAGGAAUGUACUAGAUUAGUAGUGGGUAGUACUAGUAUUUGAAGGGCAGUGAUAUUAGGAAACACAUAUUUAUGUACUUGACAAUGGACAUGCAAGCUCUGGAAUCAGAGAGAGGGAGAUAAGAAGAGAGGGAAACAUAUGAUCCAGAUUUGUUGAUGGAGGAUGAGGUUAUCCAUUCAUCAGAAAAAAACCAUGUAGCACAACUGUUUAGUUCCACAUCAGAAACCUCUUUAUUAUCCCAAGUUGUCCAAAUUCCCUUCUCCUUCUAGUAUAGUCCGAAAACAAGUCAUUUAUAUGUGAUCAAGACCACCACCCAAGUCGUACCGUACGAACCAUGUCGUCAAGAGUGAUAAAAACAGAGACCUGAAAAACGAACAGCAACCGAGUAAAGCACAUAAACCUCAAAGCCUUCUGUUACUAAUUAUAUUUCUUUUUGAUCAGUAAGCGUGAUAGAGAAGCCUAAUCACGUUGUAUGGGACAGGGCCCUGAAAAUUUUGGCCAGUUGAAUAUGCCAUGGACGUGACCGUUAAGAAAUCGGGGAAUCCAUGAAAUUUUACAACAGACAAUGGACCUGGAUCUCUCUAUAAGCCCAGCCCCAGGGUACGGAGAAUAGGUUGGGAUCACUGAACACCUUCAUAUGUAAAUCUAACUUCUACUUUUAUUGAAACACUUUCGGUAGAUCAUUACUAAAAUAUUUAUUAUUUUUUAUUUGAAGAAGUAGGACAAAUAUAUAUUUUAUUCAUUAAUAUAUUGUUCGAUUUGUAAUUUAUAGAAUUUUUUUACGUAACCUUAGUUUUUCAGGUUUUCUUCUCUAAUUUUAGCCUCACAUUUGAUGUUGCCGAUUGAAGACUCGCUAAUGUACUCCAAAAAAAUGUGUCUUCCGCUUUUCCGCACCUAUGUGGGAUAUUUCAAGAAGUCUCCAAGUAUGAUAUUGAUGGAGGAUCCUCCAUCCUAGUACUAUAGAAGAGCAUCAUCACUUGGCAACAUCAAGCUUUGGAUUUUCGCUAUGGAAUCCGAAGGAAAGAAUCACUAUAUUUUAUUUCACAAGGUAAAGCAUACAGGAGCCCUUUUUAUCAGGAUGUUCCGUAUAAGUUCGUUUCAUGCUUGAAGAUUUCAUCCUCUAGCUUUUAAUUUUUGACCUGCCGCCAGCGCCCAAAAGGACAUGAUCUCAACUACAACCAGAUUAGAACCUACUGUUACAGAUUGCUAAAAGCCAAGUAUGCAUUUGCAAGUGGAAAGAGUCCUGGAAUGAGCGUCAACACAAAUUGAAUAGGUUCGCAUUACUUGCAGAUUCUCAGAGAUUACUACAUGUGUUCUUUCAAUGACACCUUUUACCACAUUACAACGACUACCUGUGGGAAAACAACACCGUAGGUAAUUUUGUUGGAAUGACGUAAAGAAAUCUUUCAAAACUUGUAUCUAAUGUGUCAGAUCAAUAAAAUCCAGAAAAACUUCCACCGGACUUAGAUUUUUGUUCACUAGUUGAAAUUAAAAUCUCUACAGAUUUUUAAUUUCUAUUUCUAAUCGAACUCCUCUCAGGACCCGCAAAAAGAUCUAAAAAUGCUUGGGAAAAAAAAAUGCUGAUAGUCAAAAAGAACCUUGAGUUAACCUCCAGCCAUUAUGAAUACAGUGCAAGUACAAAUUACUCAUUUGGUUCAGAAUUGUGGGGUAAAUAAUUGGGAGGCCCGCUCAAGCGAGUUCUGCAAAGUAAGCAGCGUCAGCGCUCGGCCAGCCUAUCACCCCUCCAUAAAUUCUUGCGCAUCAUUUUAGAUCGAGCGCGGCGACCAGCUCUCACCGGUCGCUUUGUUUUCCUUACUCAUUAGUUUAAGGCAGUUUGGCAAGGCUCUCCAAAGUUUUACUUAAAGAGGACUUCAUAGCACGGGAUUUCGCUUUCCUAACGAUGUGGGACUCCGCGGAAGAGUAAUAGAACUAUAACACGCACUCUUCAGCCUGUUUGUGCAUUCUGUCGAUACACUCUUUUUCAUUUAAAUUUAUUAAUUUGUCAUCAAUAAUUUUAUACUUAUUAGAAAUUAUUAGAAUAAUACUUAUUCAAUCUAAAUAUUAUUAAAAUAAAAAUAAUUUAACAUUAAUUUUUAUUGAAUAAAUAAAUAUUUUUAAAUACUUCAUAAAAAUCUAAUUAUAAUGAUUAAUUUUUUUAUUAUUAUCUAGCUUUUAGUCAUUUCAAUAUUUUUAAUUUUGAUAAAUAACUAGUUAAUAUAAUACAAUGUUUUAUACUAAAACGGAAAUCAUUGUUAAAAGUAAGAACCAGAAUGUUAGAUAACUUGACAAAAUAACUUUGGUAUAACCCCCAUUAAUAUUCGCGGUUAUAGAUAGUUCUAAACAUGUUAAAAUUAUGACUCUCACGCAAUAACAAGCAAUCUCACUUUACUAAUUUUCGGUUUAAAUGUAAUAUUUUGGGACCAAAAAUCGGCUCAAAUUUUUUUAAUUAUAAAAAAAUUAUAUAAAUAAUUAAUUCAAUUUAUUUUAAAUUAAUUUUAUUAAAAUUUUAAGAAAAAAUAAAUUAAAAAUGAAAUUAAAAAUAAAUUUUAAAAAAAUUGGUGAAAUUUUGAAUUCGGAUGAUAUUUUUGAAAGAAAAUUUAAAAACAGAUGAUUAAAAUGCAAAAAGAGAAAGUUUGGUCAUGUAGAACAGCCCAGUCAGUAUUCUCGCAAAUCAGAACACACCGCGUGACAACCCCGCUGAUAUCGGUACCAUGCGGGAAGCCAUGCAAGCGAUCCACAUGUCCAACGAUCCGAUGAUCCAGAUUUAAUCACGCGCGCGCGAACGAUCCAAAUGUGUUCUCUUUUUAAAUGCAAUCGAACUAUCAAAUUUAAUCUGAUUGUGCAGUUCAAAUUUAUUUUCCGAAUAAGAUAGAUCCAACGGAUGAGAGAGGACCAUGCAUACCUGAAUGGAUGAUCCAGAUCAACACGGGAUGAGUAUUUAAGUAUUGUAUUUUAAGGAACUUUAACCCUAGCCGCACUUGCCCUUGCAGUAAAAAGAGCCAACCACCAGCCGCUGUCACACCAGAGCCACCGCCAACCGCUAAAAAAGGUAAAAUUUUUCUUUUCCCGCUCAGAAUUUGAUUUCAAAUCUCACCGUGACCAUAUCGAAGCAAAAUGGACGACAAGUGAGGUAGAAACUGCGGGUAAAGCCCAGCAGGGCCACUACGGCCAAAAUCCUAAACCCCCUCCAAUGAUUCCCUUUCCGUUUCUUGUUCCACACGAUUUUUUUACAUUGUGUUCACCAUUCCUUUUUGUGUAUGUUAGCCGAAGAAGAAACCCCAGCGGUGAAGGAGAACCAGCAGAGCUGCCGCACCCAGAGACUCUCUUUGUCGGUAGGUUCGGUUUUUUAGUUUUUUUUUUUACCAACCGGGGGUUCCUAAUGUGUUUUUCGCAUGAAUAUGUGUAAAACUGGCUAAAAUCUGCCAGAUUGAGAUGAAUCACUAUUGUGGCCGGCGAGUCGGUGUUAGAGUAUGAUGCCGCCGCCGUACUGGAACCCUAAAAUUAGCCGAAAAAUAUUUUCGACAUCGAUUUUGAAUUUUUGGCUACGUGACAAGUAUUUUAAUUUUUGUAAAAAAAAUUUAGGAAACCCAAGCCCUGUCAGGAGGCGUAGUGAGUAGUACAACAUUCCAAAACAAUGAUUUCAGUAAGGAUCUUUCACCCUAUUUUCUGUUAUGGUAAAUUGAGGAUUGAUAAUCGAUAAUUUUAUGUUUUAUGAAAAUUAAAAAAAAAACUAAAAAUAAUUACAGGUCAUUAGUGGAGCUAGAAUUGAUUAGUUCAUAUUUGUCAUGAUUCCCUGUUUAUUUUCUAUACUGCUUAAAUUAUUUACUAUUUUAUUGUGCGUAUUAAAUUGAUAGUUUUCUGAUCUUCUCGAUUAUUUAGUUUAUUUGGUUACUCCUGGAUUAUUUAUUUGGUUAUCUAAUUACUUGAUUAUUCGAUUAUAUUAAACUAUACCUCUCACUUAGAUGUUGUUUAAAUUAAACUGUGAAUAUAUAAUGAGAGGUUAAUAUGCGUUUGAUGGUUGUUUGGACGAUAAGGAUAUAUAUAAACAAAAGCUUAAUGGGUACUUGAGAAAGGGUGGACGAACUUGAUACAUAAGGAACUCUACCGUGGACAUUACCUCAAUCGAACGAGACUAAGAAAUCUCAUACCGGAAGAGUUUUGAGAGAUAUAAUUUAUCCUUAUACCAGACAGGGUAUGAGAACGGUUGAAUUAGUUGUUAAAUGUAGAUAUUAGGUUCACAAGUAGAGAGAUAUCCUUAUAGACCCCCAAGAGUCCCAGUAAGUAGGUUAAAGGAAAAAUUACUGAUUUUAUAUUGAAAUUAAAAUGUUACUUGGCAAUUUGUCUUCAUAGAUUGUUUUCAAAAAAACCUGACAUGGUAAGUAUGAAAUAAAACAUUUUAAAGUUAAAAGUAUUUAUUUAAAUCAAGGAUUCCAUUAGUUCUUUUGUAAUUUUUACCAACCUUCGAUUUUCCGUAUAAGUGAUUAGUGUGAUAUUCUUAUUGGGAUAGUAUAGUUCACCUUUUUAUUAAUAAUUUUAUAUCAAAAAGAUCAAGAUUCAGAUCCCGAUCAGUAAGAGAGUUGUGAGUAGUUCACCUCCCAAACUCUUUUCAAGCGCUAGUGGAGGUUAAUCCCUAAAAUAUUUAUUUAUUUGUUUUUAACUAUCGUUUGUCUCUUUAUGAACCAAUGUAGAAGGGAUAUUCCAGCAGCUCAAUUGAACAUUCUAAUUUACUAUGUAAAGAAUGUAAACUCUAAUUUUAUUAUUUACUUCCGCGUUUAGAUAAUAAAUCUUUUUCUUUUAAUUUCAUACUUUUAUAUUAAAUCUUAAACUUGUUCUUAGUUUAUUUCUUAACUUUAUUCAAGUAUUUAAAUAUAUAAUGUGAAAUUAAAUUGACUCAUAUAUUUAAUUUCUUGAAAUAUGAAUAAAUAAUAAAAACAUCUUCCUCUUGCCCCCAAAUGACUCAAAUUUUAAUCUCAUGCUAUGUUUACUAAUAUUAAAACCGAAACUUUAUGCUUAUUGACAUUUUGGGUUUUAAAACCCAGCAUAUUUUGAAAUUCUAGUCGUUUAUGUGACGAUCCUAAAAAUUCAAAAGGAAAAUACAUAUAAUAAUCUGAGUGCGGAAGCGAAAUAAAAGAUUAAUGUUAAUAUCCCUUACACAAUAACUUAAAAGUACUAAACAAUAUCACGGAAUAAUUUCUCUAAAAGAAAUACAACAAAUGGAGAAAAUAAAGAAAACUAUAAAGUAUCUAGUAUUUACUCGCCGUCUUCUUGUGGAUCGGGCUAGGGAACCAGAUCCUCUUGACCUAAAAUGGUUAAAUAAAGAAUGAGUUACACUAGUCUAGUAAGGAUAUUACACUAUAUCACAAUUACAGAAGUAAAGGUUGGUAGAAAAACUGAAAACAACCAAUGAAGUACAAAUUUUAAACAAAUUUAUUUAUCAAUAAACAAACCAUUUACCGUCUACUUACCGCAGUGAGAUUUAUAAAAACAACCUAUGGAAACAACAAUAUUAUAAAUAUCAUGAAUUCAUAUAUAAUCUGUAACAUAGCACAUAUCAUACUUUUAUAUUCAAAUCAUCAAACAACAAUUGCCAUUUUUUAUCAGUCUAGUAGUAUCUAUGAGGAUCCAUAGGGGUCCCCGCUACACGUGAACCAUUCCCCUUAACAACUUAAUUCUAGGGUCGUCCCCAUACCUCGUCCGGUAUGAGUGCCAAACAAUAAACCUUAAUACCCCAUCCAGUAUUAAGGUGAAGCGGGUCGUCCCCAUACCCCGUCCGGUAUUGGCGCCAAAUGACCAAGUCUGCAUACCCUGUCCGGUAUGAGAUAACGUUCACGGUAGAGUUUUCUAUGAACCCGGUCCAUCCACUAUCUACCAGGAUAUCUAGUGAGGCUGUCAUGUUAUCCAUUUAUCAAAUCAUAUCCCAUUCCUAUUUGUCCUUAGUCUCCGUUACCAACUCAAACAUAAAUACAUAAACAAGUAACGUGCAUCCAACGAAGCAAGCAUAUCUUAGAUUCCCAAAAUUAAACAGUAGUGAAGUAAGCAGUGAUUCAUGCAUUUAAAACCAUAGAAUAGAUAAACCAGAUACCAUAAUGCAUUUAAACUAUAAAAUAAAUUAAGCAGGAAUCGACAGGAAAUAAUAUCCGAUUUCAAGCUCCAUUAGCAAUCUUAAUUAAUUAUGCAUAUUUAUUAAUUUGCAAAAAAUACAGUAUUACCAUUUAUUCGAACUUUAAUUCCAUAAUAGGAAAUAGGGUGAUGGGUUCUUACUUGAUUUGAUGUCGAAAACUAGAUUUUCACUGCGCCUAUGGGCGGUCCUUGGGUUUCCUGAAUUUUUCAUUAGGAAUUGAGACGCACUUACGAUACCUACACAUGUCCCAAAUAACCCAAAAAAUUAGACCCAGGGCCUACUCAACUAAUUUUGGAAUUCCAACACGGCAGCUUCGCCGUGCUUCGGCGACGGCGCUGUCGCUCAUGGCGGCGAUCCGCCUCAGGUUGGCUGUUUUCGGCCGUUUUCGAUCGAAUUUAGCCAAACUUGCAUCGGUUCCAGUAAGAAAACACACCUAAGACCCUCGGUGGGCCGAAAAAAGUGAAAAAUAGAAACUCACCGGCGGUGGGGCUCUCUAGUGCAGCGGCUCCUUCGGCUCACAUCGCGGUUGGGUGUUUUGCUCCAGUCAACUUGUAGAGGAGGAAACGGUGAUCACAACGGUAGAAAAAUCACAUCGAACGGGAAUCGAGAAGGGCCUCAUCGGAGGCAAAAACUGAGACACCCCGUGGCGGCGCCGCUGAGCUUCGGCGACGUUUUCCGGCCAAUUGGCCAGUGCUUUUGCUCCGAUUUGGCCAUAGAUGGAUUUAGAAUCAAAUUCUGAGUAAAUGGUAGAAUUUUUACCUCGUUUGGCGGCCGAAAAUUACUCCGGUAUGGCGGCGGUCGGCUCCCCGACGGUUGAGCUGUCUUCUCCAGCGAGGGGCUCUGGCGGCUAGGGUUAGGGUUUGGGUGCGGAUGAUGUUAUUUAUACCCAUCCGUUUUUGAUCUGAGCCGUCUAUCGCUUUUAAUCUGGGCCGUUCGAUUGCAAUUAAAUAGGGAAUGAAUAUGGGCCGUUCAUCGCGAUUCAAUCUGGGCCGUCCGUGCGCGAUACAAUCCAGGCCAUCUGUGCGCGUUUUUGAUUUGGGACAUCCGUGCGCGUGGGAACAGAUCUCAGCUGUUUGAUCGCACGCACACGGAUCGCCCACGUGGCUCCCUCCUGCUUCAGCGUCUCUGCUACCUGGCGCGUCCUGGUUGGCCAGGACUGCUGACCGGGCAGCUGACGUGACACAACUUUUCUAAAUUGCGUUUUGACCCCUUAUUUCUGAAUUUUCUUUAAAAAUACCCCUAAAACUCAAAUUUUAUUAAAAUUAUUUUCAAUUAAAUUUUUAAAUAAUUUUUACCAUUUUUAUUAUUAUUAUUAUUAUUUCUAUUAAAUUAAAUUAAAUUCUAUUAAUACUAAAUUAUAUUUAUAUAGAAUAAAUUAAAAUAAAACAAAAUAAUGUAAUAAUAAUAAAAAUAAAAAAAAAAUUUCGGGUGUUACAAUUCACCUGUAAUUUUGAAGUAAGGUACAACUUUAUUCAAACAGAGCUCAUUGCUAUUAGGAACACAAUACUAUACAACUUGUUUUAUUAAUCAUCUAAGCAAAUCAAUGUGCCUACAGAACUGAACCCAAAGGUAAACUUACAAGCUACAAAUUCUGUAUAAAUCAUAACAAUCGAAAACCACGCCCCAAUACUAGAUGGAUUCCGUGGCAUUUUACACUAGAGGAGCCUACGUACAGAAAACAAUCANNNNN
Molecule: long non-coding RNA, 86308 nt
Filed under: Carica papaya (papaya)
Lineage: Eukaryota; Viridiplantae; Streptophyta; Magnoliopsida; Brassicales; Caricaceae
Description: long non-coding RNA (CPAP_LNC012907)
Source: RNAcentral